CGGUUUCUAAGGGACAAAGCCGGGUGCAUCUCAUACAUGCGCCAAAGAAGACAACACAUAUAAUAACAGAGUGUAUAGAGAUAAAUGUCACAAUAAUCAGAGUACUUAUUACAUAGCGGAAGACCUAAAAAAUAAAAGAUAAAUAUAGCAGGAUCUAAAAUCCAUCCUUGGCGCCAGAAAGUCAACUGGGAGACACCACCUAGAUCGAAUCAAACUCCUCGAUGCAUGGCUCCACUUGAACCACCUGUUCUUCUCCUGUGGGGGGUGUGAGACAGCAAGGGUGAGCUCACAUAUGUUCAUCGCUCAACAAGUUGUGGGGAAUAAUGUGGCAUGAACUCACCAAAGGUGGGAAUUCAUGUGAAGUGUAAGGCUGAUCAACAAAAUAAAGGUUGAAGCUGAGCAUUGCUUUUAUAAGUUGGUCAAAAUUUUAUUAGCAAUUACUAAGUAUAAGUAGAUACCAAACCAUAAUAAUAAUAGAACAAAAUUAAUAAAUAAUCCCAUGCAAAUGCAAAUGACAAUUUGAGUUUAAGUUCCAUAAAUUAAUCAUGUGAGGGUCCGAGCCGCUCAUGACCGUGAGCAUGGCUAGUAUACCAGUUUUACACUCUGCAGAGGUUGCACAUCUUUACCUAUAAGCUGUGUUACCCAUCUGCCAAGGGGUCAUGAAUCCCAUACACCUCUACCAAGGAAGUGAGGCAGGGUAACACUACGAGGCCUUUACAAAGUUCCACUAGCUUCAGAAAACCCGCUACAGUUUAUAGGAAGCUCCAGUGCAGGAAUCCCUCGCCUGACCGCCAUCGCAGCAAAAUCAACCCAAGGACCUUCCUACACUGACCACUCCCCUACUUCCCUUACCCCUUUCGGGUAAGGUAGUCAUCCACUAGCUUUCCUAGUUAAUCAGCAAAGGGCGUCCCAUUAAACCCUUGUGGUAGCACUGUUUUCCCGGGUGGUCGCUCCAUGUUGCAAUUAACAUAAUGAUCUUAUCAUGAAUAUAAAUAACAUAACAGAAUAAUUGGAACAUGGAUAUAAUAAAAUAUUAAUCCCAAAACCAUAUAGAGCAAUAGCAUAACUACCCAAGUGAUUCAGGGAUAAACAAGGUAAAAAGGAUAACCAAUCUAGGGUGACCUAUUGGGUCCCAUCAAAAUUAAACCUAUGCAUUGAAUAGUGAUAAUAAAGAAUAUUAUUGGGUAACAAAAGUGGAUCAAGGGCACAACUUGCCUGACACUUGAGAUUUUAGUUACCAGGGUGAUUCUUCAGAUCCUCGUGAUCGCACUACUAGUCGUAGCAAUACAAACAAACAUGGUAUAGAUAAAAUCAAUAUCACACCAAACAUGAGAACAAAUUAAAUAAUAAUGAUCUACGCGAAGCUACAAGAUCGUGGGAACGAGAACCACUAAAAUCGGAGUUACGAUUAAGGAGUUAUGAUCUAUAAAAGCUCUACAUAAUUUAAAUAUUAAACUUAUAUUAUAAAUUGGUUAGUAUAGAUCAUAUGAGAAAUUAUUCUAUAAAUAAUUAUCUCAACUUUAAUCUAAGUCAUUAUUUUAUUAAAGCUUAUCUAGUUAAAUUAUAACCAUAAAAUUAGAAUACUAUAUUAAUAUUAAAUACGUUAAUCUAAUAGACAUAGAUUAACCCAAUUAUAAAGUAUGGAAUAUCAUAUAAUAAAUGUUGAUAUUGUGUAGUAGAUAUUUAUAUGAAGCUAACGCAAUUGGAACGAGCCAAAUCGGAUUUAAAACCGAGGAGUUACGAAUUUCCUAAGGUUUAUGUAUUUUGCACAAGAUUAAAUAGGAUAUAAAUUUUAAUGUGACUUUCAUGUGAAAACAGUGGUACUAGAUGAUAAACCAUAAUAUUAAAAAAUUAUAGGAACUGGAAUGGAUUAAAAAGGAGUUAAAAUGUAUUUUCUAGGAAUUAAACAAAUUUCUGGAAUUAAUUUUGCAUUAAAAACUUUUUUUCUAAAUGAAUUCUCUGUUUUCCUAGAGGUCUGGACUGCGCGCAUGAUUAAACAGAAACCCAGGGUCUAUGGCAUAAAACAUCUAAGACUCAGGCAUACGGUCAAUGGACUGCGGGUUUAAUAAGAAGGAUUCUAGGGUCUCUUUUAAAAGACGGCCAGGGCUGAAGGGGUAUAAUUCAAUCCUGACCGUCCGAUCUAGCAUGAACGUCCCAGAUUAGAUCGUGAUUCCAGUGAACCGAUAUGCAACAGGGGACGUCGGAUCGUGGAUGAAGGUUCUGGAUUUAAAAUGUCUUGAUCAAACCAUACACGCCCAAUCGAGAUCCAAUGGUCAGAUUAGGACGCGUGAAGGGGUAUGCGCUGGUGUGAUCCCGACCGUUGAUGCCCGGACCAAUGGUCCAAAGCGCAUCGCUACACUUCUCCCCUAUCUCGACCACCAGAGCAGCCGCCCCGCCCAAGGAGCACGACGGAGGAUCGCCGGCGACACGCGAUUUGGCGCAACCGAGCCGGUGCCACAACACAACUAGGUGCUAAACGAACUAGGGCGUGCAACGAAUCGAAUGAGCUGGUCCUUACCCCAGAUUGGAGAGCCACGGAUGCAGUCCAUGGUGGAUUGCGGCACGAUGGCGGAGAAGGAAGCUCGACGCCCAAUUCUGGCAACCCAGGCCGAUGCCCCGAUCCGCGCGGUCCAUGGAUACACUCCUUGACACCCGGUGACCGUCCCUGGGCUAGUCGCAGAACCGCGACCGCCGCAAGGAUCAAGAUUUGAUGCCGGCGACUAUCCUCCCGAUGGCCGCCCCUCUCGAAUUUCUCACGGUGGGUGACGCUAAGGCGAUAGUGUGCAUAGACGGAUGGAAGAAAAGGAGAAGUGGACGGUGCACUAGACAUUAUAUGCCCAAGGUGAGUCUGUUGAGGCGUACGCUGGUGGCGAGAUUAACGGCGGGUCGUUAGGGAGGCCCUGACCAUGGCGGCGUGGGUGAGGUCCUACAGUUAUGUGCAGUUGCGAUGCGGCAGGCGGGAUCAGGUCAGGGUUGAUUGCGCCCGGUCAGCUGAAAUUGCACGCGCCAGCGGAGAUCAGGCGCGGCGAGAUCCAGACCCGCGGAGUGUGUGGCGGUGAAAUCGCGUUCUGUUUGAGGUAGGGGAACGAGCUGACGACUGGGCCCACAUGGAAGUGAAACGGGAGCGUGCAAUGAGGAUGGUAAGGAAAAGACUUUAUCCAAAAUGUUUAAGUCCUGAUUCAUCUCAAGAUUCGCUUUGACUGUUAAACCCUUGUUAGUGUUGAUCUUUUCUUCUCCAGUUUUGGUCUCAUUAAUUCGAGUUUAAUGUAUAUCAGCAGAGUUGGGCAUAUGGUUGAAGUGGUUAUGGGUGAGAUGGACUACAUGAUGUAGGUCAAAAUCUAGUUUGAUGUUAGGUGGGGACAGAUAAUUAAUCAAUUCAUCAUGACACCAUGGGUUGGGUUAGCUCUUAUCCUCAUGGUUGAGUUGGUCUAAUGUGCUAGGUUAGGUUAACACCGGGCUAGUAAUGUCUAAUCUCUUCUAUCAAUAUCACUAAUCUGUUCAAGCAUACCACAUUAGAUUAGGUCACACUAGAUUCCAUAAUCCUAUUUAAGAAUACCAUUUAAUUGAGCAUAUCCAGCUGACUUUAUCUUUACGAAAUCCCAGCAUAUUUUUUUAUACACCUGAAAUUCCUUUUAUGCCAUUAGCAGGUGUGGUAUAGAAACAAGGGUACAUCAUGUUUUAACUAAUAGGUGAGUGUUGACAUAGGAAUAAGUGUACUAUGGCAUAAUCGAGCUUCCUCUGGGGUCCGAACUAGGGACUAUCGGUCGUGGUGUUAGAUGCCAUUAUCCAAGUUGAGAUAACAAUUGCAGUAUAUGGGGUAGGUAGGUUAAAAAAAAUUACUUAGCUUUUGGGAUAAAUGGGUUGGGAAACCUGUAACACCCUAAAUUUGGGGUAUAAAAUUUCUUUGCUCAUAUCCACAAAUUCAGGUGUUAUUCCUCUCAUCUCAUCUCCCCCCAAUCUCUGUUUUUCUCUUUUCUAUAGAAGAAGAGUGGUUAUUUUAUUUAUAAAUGCAAUUAUAAUCUAGUGGGUUAAAAACCCUAAGGGAACAAUGGUUGUUGCAUCAUGUUAGAAAGAUUUGUUUUUUUGUUUGAUGAAUGGUUUGCUUAAUCUUUCAUUUAAUCAUUUGUUUGCGCAUAAUGUCAAACUGAAAUAAAUAGAAAAGAGAAAGAAAAGGAAAAGAAAAGGAAAAAACAGAAUUCAGCCCAACUCCCUCCCUGGCCCAGCUCGGCCGGCCCAGCCGCCCCUUCCCUCUCUCCCCUUUCCCCCGCUCGGCCCACCGCGCCUGCACUCCCUCGCGGGCCCGCGCGCCGCAGCCCAUCCCAGCUUUCCCUCGCGGCGGCCUAGCGCGCCAGCCCCUCUUCCCCCCCCCCCCCCGCGCGCAAGCAGCCAGCGUGCCAGCCCAGCUCCGCGCUCGGCCCACCCAGCGAGCCAGCCCCAGCCCACGCGCGCAAGCAGCCAGCAAGGCAGCCCAGCCGCGACCGCAGCCCAGGCCGCACGCCCAGCCGCGCGUAGCGCGCCCCUGCGCGCAAGCGCUCGCCCGCGUGGAGGCCGCCGCCUGCAUGCGCGCCCACGUCCGCGCACCGCGCGCAGCGGUUCCACGCCUGCCGCUGCCACUACCCAAUGGGGCCCACGCGCCAGGACGCAGGAUGCCACUGUUCGUCUUCUCAGAACCGCCCGUCGCGCAGUUUGUUUCGCCAGACGCACAGUUUUUCCUCCCGAGUGCCCAGUUCCCUCGCCAGCGACCUCGCCAGUGACCUCGUCGUGCUCACGACCAUCGACGCCCCUGCGCAGCGCCUCUUCGCGCCGAGCAGCACCGUGGUCGGGCUCCACUCGCCGCGCAACCGCCAUCGUCGACCUCCGUUCGCCGGCCUCGCUACACCCUGCCCUUAUCGCCGUCGCCGAGGUGAACUCGUCCUCCCUUUCCUCUCUCUACCGCUCGCUUCCUCGCCGCUCACUCGCCAUGGCCGGGGUUCUGCGGAGCCGACCCGGACGCCCAUGUCCCUCUCCAUCCCGUCGGUCCGCAAUCGCCUCGCCGGUCAGCCUCUGCGCGAUCUCCGGCCAGUGCGCAGCCCAGCUCCCUCGCGCGCGGCUGGACUCCCUGCCGUCGCGGCCCGCAACGCGCAGCAAGCCCGACGUCCCGACGUGCAGACCCCACGCGCCUUCGCCUCGUCCCUGCGCGCAGCGGCCGAGUAGCUGCGCACUCGGCGCGCUCAAACCCGUCCCCGUGCCGCGCAGCCCAAGCUCAGCGCGCGCUCGCAGCACGCCUAGUCGCGUUGACGUUUAGCGCCGUAGCAGCCGUUCACCGUCAAACCUCGCCUCUGCGUGUCGCAGCUGCGUUGCUGCGCGCUCGCCGCUGCCCAGCUCGCCCCGGCCGUUCGUCUACCAUCGCCGUGCCUCGCUACAGUUACCUAGCGCAUCGCGUACUCGUCAAGUCUCACGCGCGCAAUUUCGCACGUGAUCACGGGUAUCGCGCGCACCGUCGUCGUUGUUUGUAGAGUCCUCGCGCUGUUUCGCGCGUGUCGCGCGCGCAUUCUGCGCGCAAUAAUUAAUUACUUCGUUAUAAAUCGUCGCGUGUUGUUCGCAUGCGUUGUGCGUGCUGUUCACACGUGUCGUCGUGUGUUUUACGCACGCUAAUAAUUCAUCUCACCUAGAAUAGCUCGCGCUAAGUAAAUAUAUAUUUAAGCAACGGUUAUUCGAACAACACACUAAUCGGGACUAAGUAGUAAUUUUACUCGGCAUGUGAUUGUUGUCUGUUAAUACGAUUAAGCCGAAUUAAAUAUUAUAAUUCAUAUUCGCUUAGUAUACAUGUGAUAUCCCUCGACCGUAGUAUCAGUCGUCUCGGUUCCGUUCUCGCGUAGUCAUAAAUGCGAAUUCUAUGUCGCGUGCAUAUUUAUUUGAUCUAUACUGUUGUAUGGUGUACUGUUUUCUAUCAUUUCAAGAAUGUUGGAUGUAUGUUUGCACUCGCGUAGAUAUCAGGCCGUUCGUGGAGUCUGAGGGAAUUGCAGGAGAAGACCCUGAGCAGCAGCAGCUUGGUGAAGGCAAGUGUCCUCUGACCCAUUAUGUCCUAUUCACUUAUAAUUCACUUUCCCGCAGUAUUUAAUUGAAAUCUAAGGAUUGACUAGCUUUAUACUUUACCUUAUCCUUGAUGACCUUUUGGGUGAUUAUGGUUAGCAUUUUGCUAUUGCCUUAACUUAAUCAAUGAACAUGAUGUGACUAUUUAUGAUACGAUACUGUUAUCCUGAUUAUAUUGUUGAUCUUGUGAUACUCUAGGGGGCUCAGGCUGUUUCCUGAGUACCUCUUCGUAAGGACCUGUUCGUUGAGAGACCACCCGGGAUAACAGUGCAACCAUGAGGGUGGAAUGGGGUGCCCUUAGCUAAUUAAUUAGAGGAACUAGAAGUGUAGUUGCUUCGCCGUCGUGCCGUCAAUGGGGUCCAGGCACAGUGCUUGCUCUGCCGAGGCUGAGUGCCGAGGUUCUUUCGUUUUGUUUUUGUUAGUCACCCUCCUGCGGGGAGAGGUACUGUGUUUAUCAAACUGGAGAAACCUAACGGGCAGCUAUGACCUCUAGGGAAUCUUUGUAAAGGCUUCGUAGUGAAUCCCUGGCCAUUCACCUUGGGAGUGAAUAAGGGUCUUGCAAGCCUGGGCUAGAGAGGGAAUCACGGCUCAUGGGUAAAGUGUGCGACCUCUGCAGAGGGUAGUGAAACUGAUAUAUCAGUCGUGCUCACGGUUAAGAGCAGUCUUGGGAUCCUCUUUGAUUAGAGAUACAAAUGGUUUGAGAUACAAUGGUUCUAUUUAUGAUUUUGGUUCGAUGAUGAUAAUGAUGUUCCUCGAUGAGGAAAUGAUUCACGGGUUAGUUAUUGCUAAAACCUGGCUUCACUAAUAAUAAAUACCUGACCAACUAAAAGCAACUGCUUGAGUCUAACCCCACAUAAAGCUAGUCCACUUCAGCCAAACGGGGCAUUUGCUGAGUACGUUGAUGUGUACUCAUCCUUGCUUUACCACAAAACACCAGGUUGUCCACAUUGCAACCACUGCUCAGGAGAAGACGAAGUCGUGGAAGGCGACUUCCAGGAGUUCCAAGACUACGACGAGUUUUAGGUGUGGGUUGGCGGCAACCCCCAGUCAGCUGCUUGUGAAGGCCUUAUCUUUACUGCGUUUCGCUAGCACUUUGAUUUAACUGUUAAGUUGAUGACUAUGUGGAUGUCUAUGACUCUGUGAUGUAAUAAGUUAAUACUCUUUUAUGUUAUUAUUCGAGCACUGUGCGAUGAUGUUCAUUUAUGUAAUCGCUGUGUACGUGAAUUCUGAUCCUGGCACGUACAUAGUUCGCAUUCGGUUUGCCUUCUGAAACCGGGUGUGACAUAAGUGGUAUCAAAGCCGUGCUGACUGUAGGACCGCUGACCUAGAGUAGCACUGGUCGUACUAAGGACUAUUGACCUUCACCCUCACCUUGACCUCUAGGUCACUUCAAAAGUCGGUCACCUCGACCAACCCUAUGUUUUACUACAUAUAUAUGUAUAUUAUAUUAUACCUUGUUAAAAUUUUAUUUUGUUCUGUCUAUGGUUUACUCACUUGUCAUAUUAGUUCUGUUCUUACUCUCAUGCUUACGGUGUCUUUUGUAGAUGGCUCGACUUAGACACACUGCUCGUAAGUCGGUGAUUCCUUUCCUGCCGUCUCGCCUUGCGGAGCGUCCUCUGCGCCGCACCGUGUCCGGUCAGUCGAGUCACCUGGAGAGGCUGCACCACCGCCUGCGUGAGGAGCAGGAGCGCCAGCGUCAGCACAGAGAGCAGCAGGGCUCUUCCUCCCCACCUGAGCAGGAGGUGGAGUCCGUGAGGCACCGCUCCCCUGUUCCCCAGCUGGAGGCGCCCCCUGCACCACCGCGGGACGCCCCGGCUGUUGGAGGAGCUACUGGAGAAGGUCCUGGAGGAGACCCCGACGACGACGACUCAGACCACAGCACUGAGUCCUCUGAGCCGCAGGAGGCAGAAGGAUGGGUCGCCCGACCCAUCACCCGUGAUGCCGCUCGCGGUUGUCACUUCCACGACGCACUCGACACCUUGCUGCGCCAGGCUUUCGACUGGCACACCUGGUCGAUCGAGUACCGUUGUGUAGUCUACCAGCACAGUCGCGGGAGGUACCCGGACCGCUGGGAGGCUACCUGCCUAGUUCGCCGUUUGUAGGAUGACCUCCAGGGUGCGAAGGCCGUUUCGGAGCACUAUUCCAUCUCCGAGAGGGACACUGCAGAGGCGGCUAUGCAGGAUGCAGCACAGCGUGCACUCUCCCAGUACUGUUCCUUGUUCGGUGGGGUGGCCGACGGUCUUAACCUUAGGUACUACCCCCGCCGUCCUACUGGCAGCACCGAGAGUGUGGUUGUCUCACCUGUUGGUGAGGAUAACCCUAGGUUGAGCAGCACAGUCAACCUAGUCGCGGUGCUUAACACUGAGCUGGAUCACUCUUUGGAUGAGCUGAGCAGGGCUCGAACGGAGAUUGCUGAGUUGCGUGCUGAGCUAGCAGAGCGUCGCCACCAGGAGGGUGGUUCCCCCGCUCCUGUUGGGACUCAGCACCCUUACCGCUCGCCGCCACGUGGUCACCACACUUAUGGUUCCCCUGCCUGUAAGACCAGGAUAGAUCUAGAUCCUUAGAUCGUUAGCGUCGGAGUUUGUAAUAAUCCUUAAGUCAGAUGUCUCAGUCUUAGAUAGUCAGUUUAGUUUGCUUACCAGUUGCUUCCAUUUAGUUUAGUUUGCUUAUCAGUUGCUUACAUGCUUGUUAUGAUGAACUUAUGCUGGAUUUGAAUCUUUGUAAUGUUUGUAGCCAACAUGUGGGUUUCCCCUGCAGUUUGGCUUAGCUAGUAAUGUUAAUGAAGUCAGUUGUUUAGUUGGGAAACUAUUUACUUCUACUUUCCUUUUUAUCUGAGAAGCUGUGUUGAAUCAUAAUGAGGAUCAGUGAAGCUCUUUGUUCACUCAGUGUCAUGAAGAAUUAUGUAUACUCUUUUCUUAUGCUGAAGGAUUGUAAGAUCAAUGCUGAUGUGUGAAUGUCUUCCACAGAUGUCUGACAACAGGCGCCGAUGUAACAGGCGCGCUCAGCAAGAGCAGCGUGCCCAGCAGGAGGAACAUCAGAGGCAGCCUCCCCCGCCACCCCCGAUGACAGUGGAGCAGAUGUUCUUGAUGCAGACUCAGGCAGUGCAGGCUAUUGGGCAGACUCUGGCAGCCAUGCAGCAGGCUCAACAGCAACCCCAACCCCAGUUGCAAGUGCAGAUGCCCCAGAUGCCACGGGAUAAGCGUGGCGAGUUCAUGAGAGGGCACCCUCCUACCUUCGCCCAUUCUACUGACCCCAUGGAUGUAGAAGACUGGCUGCGUGCAAUGGAAAGGGAACUGCGCACCGCCCAAUGUGACGACAGGGAGAAGGUUCUGUAUGGUCCCCGCCAGCUAAGGGGAGCAGCCCAGUCUUGGUGGGAGUCCUACCUCGCUACCCAUGCUGACCCCGAAGCCAUCACCUGGAAAGAAUUCAGCGAGAGUUUCCGCAGGUACCAUGUUCCAGAGGGACUGAUGAUCGUGAAGAAAGAGGAGUUCUUGGCUCUGAGGCAGGGACCCCUGUCUGUUAGUGAAUACAGGGACAAGUUUCUGCAGCUAUCUCGUUAUGCACCUGAAGACGUCAACACUGAUGCUAAAAGACAGUACAGGUUCAUGAGGGGUUUGGUGGAUCCCCUGCAUUACCAGCUGAUGAAUCACACCUUCCCCACCUUCCAGCAUCUGAUCGAUAGGGCAAUCAUGACCGAGAGGAAGCGCAAGGAUAUGGAAGAUCGGAAGCGCAAGAUGAAUGGACCACAGUCCGGGAGCAUCAGCCGCCCCCGCUUCUCAGGAAGUUCAUCUCAGCAAGGCAAGCAUGGUCACCCACAGGGAUAUCAGCAUCAGAGUCAGCGGCCGUAUCAGCAGCAGUUUCAGAGGCAGUACCCACAGCAACAGCAGUAUCGUCAGAACAGCCAGCAGGGAGGUAACCAGUAUCAGAGGCAGAAAAAUCAGGCACCUCGCCUUCCUGCCCCAGCAGCAAAUCAGAACAACCAAGCAGCCCCAGCACAAGGAGGAGGCAGAGGAUGUUUCCACUGUGGAGAACAAGGCCACUAGGCGAUGCAGUGCCCAAAGAAGAUGGCGCAGCAGCAGGCCAACCCCAAUGCUCCAACAAGGCAAGGUGUACCUCAACAGGCACCAGGUAAUCGUGGCCAAGCGUACAACCGUGGGAAGGUGAACCACUUGGAGGCCGAAGCGAUCCAGGAUGCACCAGAUGUGGCAGUAGGUAUGUUCUCAGUCGAAUCUCAUCCCGCAAAAGUGCUAUUUGAUACUGGUGCAACUCAUUCAUUUGUCACUGCAACAUGGGUAGAAAUGCAUAACAUCUCAGUAGAGGCAAUGAUGCCGCCCAUGAGGAUUAAUUCGGUUGGUGGUAAAGUGCAAGCAGAUAGAAUAUGCUCAAAUAUAAGGGUGGAAAUAAGGGGGAUAGGGUUCCCCAGUGAUCUAAUAGUAAUAGACACCCCUGGGGUAGAUGUCAUCCUAGGGAUGAAUUGGUUAAUGAAGUAUGAAGCGAAUGUUAGCUGUGACAAGAGGACCGUAACAUUGAAGUCCCCAUCUGGAGAGGAGGUAGUGGCUGAGCUAAGGAUGCCUAAAUCAGCGGAGGGAGAUUGUCACCAGAUUUCAGUUGAUAGUAAGGAGGCCAACCCGCUUGAGGCUAUCAAGGUUGUGUCGGACUUUCCGGAGGUGUUUCCCGAGGAACUAACGGGCAUGCCACCCGAGAGAAAAGUCGAAUUUGCCAUAGAGCUUAUCCCUGGUACCGCCCCCAUUUCUAAAAGAGCCUAUCGAGUGUCUGGACCAGAAUUGGUGGAACUCAAGAAGCAAGUUGAUGAGCUGUUAGAAAAGGGUUACAUCAGACCAAGUACCUCGCCUUGGGCCGCUCCAGUAUUGUUUGUAGAGAAGAAAGAUGGUACCAAAAGGAUGUGCAUAGAUUACAGAGCCCUGAAUGAAGUCACUAUUAAGAACAAGUACCCCCUGCCAAGAAUAGAAGAUCUGUUUGACCAACUCAGAGGUGCCAGCGUAUUCUUGAAGAUAGAUCUGAGAUCAGGUUACCAUCAACUCAGAAUCCGACCCUCGGACAUACCGAAGACAACAUUCAUCACCAAGUAUGGGUUAUAUGAGUAUACAGUUAUGUCCUUUGGUUUGACAAAUGCACCAGCCUUCUUUAUGUAUCUGAUGAACAGUGUGUUCAUGGACUACCUAGACAAGUUUGUGGUAGUGUUCAUCGACGAUAUUCUCAUAUAUUCCAAAAGUGAGGAAGAACAUGUGGAGCAUUUGAAGAUGGUAUUGCAAAGGCUACGAGAGCAUCAGUUGUAUGCCAAGCUGAGUAAAUGCGAGUUCUGGAUUCAUGAAGUCUUGUUUCUGGGUCACAUCAUAAACCAAGAUGGGUUAGCGGUGGAUCCAAAGAAAGUAGCAGAUAUCCUGAACUGGAAAGCACCGAAGGAUGUUCGUGGGAUCAAGAGCUUCAUUGGAAUGGCCGGAUACUAUAGGCGUUUCAUUGAAGGCUUUUCAAAGAUUGCUAGACCAAUGACAACGUUACUAGCGAAGAAAGUUGAGUUUAAGUGGACCCAAAAGUGUCAAGAAGCAUUUGAAGAACUAAAGAAUAGAUUGACUACAGCACCUGUGUUAGUUCUGCCUGAUGUUCAUAAGCCAUUCUCGGUGUACUGCGAUGCUUCUUACACCGGAUUGGGAUGUGUGCUAAUGCAAGAAGGAAGAGUUGUGGCAUACUCAUCUCGACAACUGAAGAUCCAUGAAAAAAAUUAUCCCACACACGACCUGGAGUUGGCAGCAGUGGUUCAUGCUUUAAAGACAUGGAGACAUUACCUGUAUGGGCAGAAGUGCGACAUCUACACAGAUCAUAAAAGUUUGAAGUACAUAUUCACCCAGUCAGAGUUAAACAUGAGGCAGCGAAGAUGGUUGGAAUUGAUCAAAGACUACGAGUUGGAGAUACAUUACCAUCCAGGCAAGGCCAAUGUUGUUGCAGAUGCUCUGAGCAGGAAGAGUCAAGUCAAUAUGAUGGCUACGUACCUAAUGUCAUAUGAGUUAGCCAAAGAGUUCGACAGACUGAGUCUCGGUUUCCUGAACAGUACACAAGGAGUAACAGUGGAAUUAGAGCCCACCCUAGAGUGGGAGAUCAAAGAAGGGCAGAAAGAUGAUGAAAACAUCAACAAUAUCCGGCAGCUGAUCUUAGAAGGAAGAGGCAAAGACUUUCGAGAGGAUGAAGAGGGAGUAAUAUGGUUCAAGGACCGAUUGUGUGUUCCCGACAUCAAACCUAUUCGGGAGCUGAUCCUAAAGGAAGCUCAUGAGACAGCCUACUCCAUACACCCUGGAAGUGAAAAGAUGUAUCAGGAUUUAAAAAGGAGAUUUUGGUGGUAUGGCAUGAAAAGAGAAAUCGCAGAAUAUGUCGCCAUCUGUGAUAGCUGUCAAAGAACCAAAGCAGAGCAUCAAAGGCCCGCCGGACUGUUGUAGCCAUUACAGAUUCCUCAGUGGAAGUGGGAUGAGAUCGGGAUGGAUUUUAUAGUUGGCCUACCUCGUACCCGGGCCGGCUAUGAUUCCAUUUGGGUGGUUGUGGACCGCUUAACAAAGGUAGCCCAUUUUAUACCUAUGAAGACAACGUACACCGGAGCAGCGUUAGCUGAGUUAUACAUGUCUCGGAUAGUCUGCCUUCAUGGUGUGCCGAAGAAGAUAGUGUUAGAUCGAGGAACACAAUUUACCUCUCAUUUCUGGCAGCAGCUACAAGAAGCUUUGGGCACGCAUUUGAACUUCAGCUCGACUUAUCACCCGCAGACAGACGGUCAGACUGAAAGAACCAAUCAGAUCCUAGAAGAUAUGCUGAGAGCCUGUGCGUUGCAAGACAAGUCAGGAUGGGACAAAAGGUUACCUUACGCAGAAUUUUCCUACAACAAUAGUUACCAGGCCAGCCAGAAGAUGUCACCGUUUCAGGCGCUCUAUGGACGGAGUUGUAGGACUCCGCUGCAUUGAGACCAGCCUGGAGAGAGACAAGUGUUUGGCCCCGACAUUUUGCUUGAAGCCGAAGAGAAUAUCAAAAUGGUUCGGGAGAAUCUGAAGAUAGCACAAUCAAGGCAGCGAAGCUAUGCGGACAGAAGGAGAAGAGAACUGAGUUUUGAAGUGGGAGACUACGUCUAUCUGAAGGUGUCACCUAUCAGAGGAGUCAGAAGGUUCGGAGUCAAAGGCAAGCUAGCACCCCGGUACGUUGGACCAUAUCAGAUUCAAGCAAAGCGUGGAGAAGUGGCCUACCAGCUCAACCUACCAGAAAGUUUGUUGGCGGUGCACAAUGUGUUCCACGUGUCGCAAUUGAAGAAGUGUCUGCGAGUACCAGAAGAACAGUUGCCAGUGGAGGACUUGGAAGUCCAAGAGGAUCUGACCUACAUAGAGAAGCCAACGCAGAUUCUGGAGUUUGCAGACAGAGUCACCCGGAGGAACACCAUCAGAAUGUGCAAAGUCAGAUGGGGCCACCACUCUGAGGAAGAAGCAACCUGGGAACGAGAAGAUGAUCUGAAAGCCAAAUACCUCGAACUCUUUGCUGACAAACCUUGAAUCUCGGGGCGAGAUUCUUUUAAGGGGGAUAGGUUUGUAACACCCUGAAUUUGGGGUAUAAAAUUUCUUUGCUCAUAUCCACAAAUUCAGGUGUUAUUCCUCUCAUCUCAUCUCCCCCCAAUCUCUGUUUUUCUCUUUUCUAUAGAAGAAGAGUGGUUAUUUUAUUUAUAAAUGCAAUUAUAAUCUAGUGGGUUAAAAACCCUAAGGGAACAAUGGUUGUUGCAUCAUGUUAGAAAGAUUUGUUUUUUUUGUUUGAUGAAUGGUUUGCUUAAUCUUUCAUUUAAUCAUUUGUUUGCGCAUAAUGUCAAACUGAAAUAAAUAGAAAAGAGAAAGAAAAGGAAAAGAAAAGGAAAAAACAGAAUUCAGCCCAACUCCCUCCCUGGCCCAGCUCGGCCGGCCCAGCCGCCCCUUCCCUCUCUCCCCUUUCCCCCCGCUCGGCCCACCGCGCCUGCACUCCCUCGCGGGCCCGCGCGCCGCGGCCCAUCCCAGCUUUCCCCCGCGGCGGCCUAGCGCGCCAGCCCCUCUUCCCCCCGCGCGCGCAAGCAGCCAGCGCGCCAGCCCAGCUCCGCGCUCGGCCCACCCAGCGAGCCAGCCCCAGCCCACGCGCGCAAGCAGCCAGCAAGGCAGCCCAGCCGCGACCACAGCCCAGGCCGCACGCCCAGCCGCGCGUAGCGCGCCCCUGCGCGCAACCGCUCGCCCGCGUGGAGGCCGCCGCCGCCGCCUGCAUGCGCGCCCACGUCCGCGCACCGCGCGCAGCGGUUCCGCGCCUGCCGCUGCCACUACCCAAUGGGGCCCACGCGCCAGGACGCAGGAUGCCGCUGUUCGUCUUCUCAGAACCGCCCGUCGCGCAGUUUGUUUCGCCAGACGCACAGUUUUUCCUCCCGAGUGCCCAGUUCCCUCGCCAGCGACCUCGCCAGUGACCUCGUCGUGCUCACGGCCAUCGACGCCCCUGCGCAGCGCCUCUUCGCGCCGAGCAGCACCGUGGUCGGGCUCCACUCGCCGCGCAACCGCCAUCGUCGACCUCCGUUCGCUGGCCUCGCUACACCCUGCCCUUAUCGCCGUCGCCGAGGUGAGCUCGUCCUCCCUUUCCUCUCUCUACCGCUCGCUUCCUCGCCGCUCACUCGCCAUGGUCGGGGUUCUGCUGAGCCGACCCGGACGCCCAUGUCCCUCUCCAUCCCGUCGGUCCGCAAUCGCCUCGCUGGUCAGCCUCUGCGCGAUCUCCGGCCAGUGCCCAGCCCAGCUCCCUCGCGCGCGGCUGGACUCCCUACCGUCGCGGCCCGCAGCGCGCAGCAAGCCCGGCGUCCCGACGUGCAGACCCCGCGCGCCUUCGCCUCGUCCCUGCACGCAGCGACCGAGUAGCUACGCACUCGGCGCGCUCAAACCCGUCCCCAUGCCGCGCAGCCCAAGCUCAGCGCGCGCUCGCAGCACGCCCAGUCGCGUUGACGUUUAGCGCCGUAGCAGCCGUUCGCCGUCAAACCUCGCCUCUGCGCGUCGCAGCUGCGUUGCUGCGCGCUCGCUGCUGCCCAGCUCGCCCCGGUCGUUCGUCUACCAUCGCCGUGCCUCGCUACAGUUACCUAGCGCAUCGCGUACUCGUCAAGUCUCACGCGCGCAAUUUCGCACGUGAUCACGGGUAUCGCGCGCACCGUCGUCGUUGUUUGUAGAGUCCUCGCGCUGUUUCACGCGUGUCGCGCGCGCAUUCUGCGCGCAAUAAUUAAUUACUUCGUUAUAAAUCGUCGCGUGUUGUUCGCGCGCGUUGUGCGUGCUGUUCACACGUGUCGUCGUGCGUUUUACGCACGCUAAUAAUUCAUCUCACCUAGAAUAGCUCGCGCUAAGUAAAUAUAUAUUUAAGCAACGGUUAUUCGAACAACACACUAAUCGGGACUAAGUAGUAAUUUUACUCGGCAUGUGAUUGUUGUCCGUUAAUACGAUUAAGCCGAAUUAAAUAUUAUAAUUCAUAUUCGCUUAGUAUACAUGUGAUAUCCCUCGACCGUAGUAUCAGUCGUCUCGGUUCCGUUCUCGCGUAGUCAUAAAUGCGAAUUCUAUGUCGCGUGCAUAUUUAUUUGAUCUAUACUGUUGUAUGGUGUACUGUUUUCUAUCAUUUCAAGAAUGUUGGAUGUAUGUUUACACUCGCGUAGAUAUCGGGCCGUUCGUGGAGUCUGAGGGAAUUGCAGGAGAAGACCCUGAGCAGCAGCAGCUUGGUGAAGGCAAGUGUCCUCUGACCCAUUAUGUUCUAUUCACUUAUAAUUCACUUUCCCGCAGUAUUUAAUUGAAAUCUAAGGAUUGACUAGCUUUAUACUUUACCUUAUCCUUGAUGACCUUUUGGGUGAUUAUGGUUAGCAUUUUGCUAUUGCCUUAACUUAAUCAAUGAACAUGAUGUGACUAUUUAUGAUACGAUACUGUUAUCCUGAUUAUAUUGUUGAUCUUGUGAUACUCUAGGGGGCUCAGGCUGUUUCCUGAGUACCUCUUCGUAAGGACCUGUUCGUUGAGAGACCACCCGGGAUAACAGUGCAACCAUGAGGGUGGAAUGGGGUGCCCUUAGCUAAUUAAUUAGAGGAACUAGAAGUGUAGUUGCUUCGCCGUCGUGCCGUCAAUGGGGUCCAGGCACAGUGCUUGCUCUGCCGAGGCUGAGUGCCGAGGUUCUUUCGUUUUGUUUUUGUUAGUCACCCUCCUGCGGGGAGAGGUACUGUGUUUAUCAAACUGGAGAAACCUAACGGGCAGCUAUGACCUCUAGGGAAUCUUUGUAAAGGCUUCGUAGUGAAUCCCUGGCCAUUCACCUUGGGAGUGAAUAAGGGUCUUGCAAGCCCGGGCUAGAGAGGGAAUCACGACUCAUGGGUAAAGUGUGCGACCUCUGCAGAGGGUAGUGAAACUGAUAUAUCAGCCGUGCUCACGGUUAAGAGCAGCCUUGGGAUCCUCUUUGAUUAGAGAUACAAAUGGUUCGAGAUACAAUGGUUCUAUUUAUGAUUUUGGUUCGAUGAUGAUAAUGAUGUUCCUCGAUGAGGAAAUGAUUCACGGGUUAGUUAUUGCUAAAACCUGGCUUCACUAAUAAUAAAUACCUGACCAACUAAAAGCAACUACUUGAGCCUAACCCCACAUAAAGCUAGUCCACUUCAGCCAAACGGGGCAUUUGCUGAGUACGUUGAUGUGUACUCAUCCUUGCUUUACCACAAAACACCAGGUUGUCCACAUUGCAACCACUGCUCAGGAGAAGACGAAGUCGUGGAAGGAGACUUCCAGGAGUUCCAAGACUACGACGAGUUUUAGGUGUGGGUUGGCGGCAACCCCCAGUCAGCUGCCUGUGAAGGCCUUAUCUUUACUGCGUUUCGCUAGCACUUUGAUUUAACUGUUAAGUUGAUGACUAUGUGGAUGUCUAUGACUCUGUGAUGUAAUAAGUUAAUACUCUUUUAUGUUAUUAUUCGAGCACUGUGCGAUGAUGUUCAUUUAUGUAAUCGCUGUGUACGUGAAUUCUGAUCCUGGCACGUACAUAGUUCGCAUUCGGUUUGCCUUCUGAAACCGGGUGUGACAAAACCUAUAACAUAGGCUAGGUCGAGGUUUCACGGACGAGUUGGUCUAGGACACAAAUUUAGGGUUUGAACACAUUUUGUCGGCGUUUCGAACCCGGGGGGGUCCCUGGACCGACUAGUAAAUUUGUCGCUGCGUGCCCCUGCCCAGAUGGGUUGGUGCGAGAUGGAACACAAGGGGGAAUGAGACUUGUAUUAUCCUGCACCAGGGUGCUUGUAGUAGGGGAUACAAGCACGUCGCGGGAGAGAGAGAGGGAGCCUGUUCGUUAGCUCGUCCCUCCACGCGAACCCUCCUCCAGGAAGGCCUUGGACCUCCCUUUUAUAGAUGCAAGGAGAGGGUCCAGAUGUACAAUGGGGGGUGUAGCUAGGUGCUAACAUGUCCGACAGAGAGGUGCCUGAGCCCUGUGUACAUGCCAACGUGGCUGUCGGGGGAGAGCCUGAGCCUUGUAUGCGUGAUAACGUGGCCGUCGGGGGAGAGCCUGAGCCCUGUAUGCAUGAUAACGUGGCCGUCGGAGAAAUGCCUGAGCCCUGUAUGAAGCACAACUAGCGGUGCAGCUGGGACCCUGUUGACGUCUCCUUGAUGUCGUAAGGGGCUGAGAACCACCGACGUCAUGGCCGCACGCGGGGCAUCAUCAUUACCCGUUGCCGGGGUAAGCUAGAUAGGACGCCGGUCUUGUCCCUUGUAUCCCGAGCUAGCUAGGAGCAGGGUAAUGAUGUUUCCCCUGUGGCGCGGUCGGUCCGAGCCCAAGGUCGGGCGAGGCGGAGACUUCUCCUGAGGCCGAGGCCGGGGUCGGGGUCGGGCGAGGACGCGAUUCCUCCCGAGGUCGAGGCAGAGUCCAAGUCUUGGGGCGCGUGUGUCAGGAUAUGACGUCGUGGUUGGCACAACAGUCGGAGCGGUUGGCACAGCAGUCGGAGCGGGGCGAACGACGCUGUUUUCUGUCAAGUCAAUCAGUAAAGGGGGCGAAGUGACUGCGGUCACUUCGGCCCUACCGACUGAGGCGCGUGUGUCAGGAUACGGCGUCAGGCGAUCCUCGCAUUGAAUGCACCUGCGACGCUGUCGGUUGGUGAGGCGGUUUGGCCAAGGUUGCUUCACAGCGAAGCCUGCCCGAGCCGGGCUUCGGGAGAGCCGAGGGUGUGCUCACUGCCUGAGGAGGCCCUCGGGUGAGGCGUGAAGUCGUCCGGGACUACUGUUCCCGCCCGAGGCUGGGCUCGGGCGAGAUCGCGCCCUUUGGGUAGACGAAGCCUUGACUUGAACUGUGCCCAUCAGUCCUUAUGGUUUGUCCUGAUGGUGUCUACCAGCCGUUUUUAGGAGUGUUGGGGGUACCCCUAAUUACGAUACCUGACAGUAGCCCCCGAGCCUCAAAGGGAGUGUUGGUACUCGCUUGGAGGCUCUGCCGCAUUUUUGGUGAGGGGUCCGGCCUUUCUCGAUUAUACUUUGUUCCGGCGGGUGCGCGCGAGCGCACCCGCCGGGUGUAGCCCCCGAGGCCUCGGAGGAGUGGUUUGACUCCUCUGAGGUCUUAAAUGCUUUUCGUGAUGCCUCGGCCGGCCUGGUCGUUCCCUCAUGCGGCCUGGCCGUAGCCCGGGUGCAUGGUCAGGUUCCAAGUUUUCAAGGUGGUUUGUUGACGCUGUCAACAGUUUGGCCGCAGCCGGGUGCGAGAGCAGCCCCCGAGCCUCUGCACGGAGCGAGAGGAUGAUCAAGGACUGUCUCGACUUUUGUUAUACGCCCCUUUGUCGCCUUUCCACAAGGAGGAAGGGGGGAAGCGCCAUGUUGCCCUCGAAGGGCGCCGAACAUGGUGUUUCCGGUGAGUUGCUAACGGGUGAUCCGAGUGGACGCCCGUGCCCCGUUCGUUAGGGGUCGGCUAGUGGCCCAGAGGCGUGCUCCAAAAGUACCUGCAGGUGAUUCGCUGGACCCGGCCCCUUUUUUACAGGGUCCGAGGGCUCGAUGCCUCCCUCCGGUGGGAUUCCAUUACAAAUCGUUCCCGCUGGUCUCGGAAAUGUCCUAGGGUACCUUGGGAGCGUAGCCCGAGCCUCGGCCAUGUAACAGACGUACCCAGAGUCAUCCCUCACUCUGCAUGCUCUGGGGCGGCUGUCGAACCCUUCCGAGGGGCCAACCUUCGAACCCCUUAUCAGUAAUGGGUAUGGAGCCCGAGUGCUCUAAGGCGUCUGUCGAACCCUUCCGAGGGGCUAGCCUUCGAACCCCUGAUUAGUAAUGGGCGCAAAGCCCGAGUGCUCUGGGGCGGCUGUCGAAACCCUUUCGAGGGGCCAGCCUUCGAACCCCUGAUCAGUAGGGGGCUCGGGGCCCGCUUCCAUCGCCGAGAAGGAUCCUUUCCGAGACAUCCCCUUUCCCGGUCCCUGUGGCAAGAGAGAGAAAGAGGAAGCAGAAAAGGAUACACAUUUAAAUAAGGCGGCACACCUUUUUUGACGCGGUCAUCAUGGCGGAGGUGAAACGACGCCCACCUCUCUUGCCAGAGAUGUCGCUUGCCCUGCCGGGGAGUUAAUGCGAUGGGACGAGCGAUUCGCGGGGCGACCGUUGCGCGUGCGCGAGCCGUUCGAGGAACGGAACAGAGGCGCGUUGUCUUCACACCGUGGGAGAGGGCUUUCCUGCCGCUUCAGGAGGGGACGCGAGCCUGUAGGUGAUUUGACCGCUGCCUCCACUCAUCUACCGCUGCAAUUACUGUCGGCCCACUUUUGGCCAUGCCAACCGUCGUGCCUAUCCACGCGGCUGACUGACCUGUGAUUGUUGCACUUAAUGGGCACUGCUGGGUCACGCGCAGGGCUGCCUCGAGUCGCGGCGCCGGUUCCGCAGUCGAGAAGGCGCGGCGUUGGCGCAAGUGGCGGUGCGGUUUCUUGCACGUCGUAACCGGCGUGCCGGUUACAUGACGCGUGGGUCCGGGCCUCCAUGCUGGAUCGCCAGAUGUGAUGAAGCCGAAAGGGCACACAAUCGUGGUGCGGUUGGAUGCCUGUCGUGUAGCGGUCCACCCUUUUGACCGCUGGUUUCGGCGAGGAUGGGGGAGUGCUUGUAACCGCGGGAUGGUUACAUGCUUCGCGUGCGGCAGUUCGCCUCCUUCACGCUUCGGAUCAGCUCGCAUGACGUGUGGGACCCAGCCCCCAUGUCGUAGGGGGAGGAACCCUGGAGCACGUCGGUGGAGACUUCGCCCGUGACGCUUGGGGAUGCGAGUGAGGAGAGCCGCCUUUAAAAGGGGGGCGAUCCCCUGGGCAGUAGCCAUGCCUUCACACUCCGCUCAUGCAUUGCGCCCUUCCACCUUUCGAGCCCCCAUAUGGGGCGCACCGGCGUUGCCUUCCCCUUGCUUGUUGUUGGAGGAGCGCGACCUCGUGGGGGUUGGCGUCCUUCAGCCAUCGCUUGGCUUCAAGGAUUUUCAUCAUGCAGCCCGGCUGCAGUCCCUCACCAAUGGUCAUCCAGGACGAUGACCACCAGCUUCGUGGUGGGGAGAAGCAAGCCGGGCUGCGGCCUCUGCCCCGCCCUCAGCUUCAAGGAUGUUCAUCAUCCGUGCUGGGGAGGGGGGUGCGGCAAUUCAGGGCCUGCCUCCGCGUGGGCCGGCGACCCGCUUCUUCCUCCAGCAUUCGAGGGAGAAUGGCAUCCUCCAGCCCUACGGAGGUGACGUCCUCCAGCCAUGCGGGGGAAGGCGAACUGCUGCUGCCUGGCCAGGGUGUAGCUGUCCGUCCUCCACCCAGGCGACGGUCGCGCCGUGCGCAGGUGGCUGCCGUCACCGUCCCUGCGGAGGGGGCGGACUUCGACAACGCGGGUCCGGUCGGCGGCAAGCGUCGUCAGCUCCAGCGUGCCUGUCAUGCUGGCUCAGCUGGCUCUGGCACCGCCUCCGACGCUGCCUCCUGCCGCUCGGUCUGCGCGGAAGUCGGCGCUGGCCCGUCUGCAAGGACUUGAGUGGGGAUCUGCCGACGCAGGCUGGGGCGACCGCCAUUCGUCGGCGUGGCGCUGGCGUGCAGGUGGCCGCUGUCAUCGAUGCUGAAGUGGUGGCAGAAGUAGGAGGUUGUCUCCACUGACGAGACCGUCGGUGCCACCGGCGGUCGGACCUCUGGCUCUUUGGCUUCGACGGCUUGUCCUCGCCCCUCGUGUGGGGACGAGGGCGAGGACUUUCUCAUAGCAGCGGUUGCCCUGAGGUCAUCGCUGCUGCUGUUUAGCCGCCUGAGGCGGAGGUCGUUGUCGCUGCUGCUGGAGCGGUCGCCGGUGAUCCACCUGGAGUUUGUUAUCCCGCAGGCCCCCCAGUGUGGAGGUUGUUCAUACCUGCGGGAAUGGAACCGGAGUCCCGUUUGUAGGGGAUAUACUAGGUUUUUGCCUAAGCAAAAUGUAACUGCUUCAAAUACUUAGACGUUUGUCGUGGGUCGGCAGAACCGCCGAGGGUCCUGCCGACGUCUAAGUCUAUGUAGCAUAGUCACCCCAAGUAUAUGUGUUUGUUCUUUGUGGCUGUCGAGGCCUGAACAUUUGGGUAUUCGAGUAUAAAGCUGCGUCUCUUCCUCAUUUCAAGCACUAGGACUUGCCUGUCGGUGGCCGAACCACUUAACCGAGCGUGAGUUGCCUUGCGCGGAAGGUGACGAGUGAGGUAUCCAUAUCCCAGAGGCGUAGGAGUCCCUCGGCUCGGUCGGCCUUGCCGCUUAAAGCUUCUCUUGCUUGGUUUUAAAACCUUUGACCGCUCUGCGAUGAGCUGGAGCCGGAGGCAACGGUGUUGGUGUGGACAGAGGCGGUGUCGGCUCGAAAAGAGGCUUCGUCGACCCGGGAGCACGUGGCCUCCCAGGCUGAGGAGAUGCAGCAGCGGACGCUGGAGCUCGGCCAGGUCAUCCGCGAGCGGGAUCAACCUUGGAGUCAAGUUGCUGAGGCCGUGAGCCGGGCUGAGGUCCUCGGGGGACAGCUGGCUGAGGCUACGGAGCGGCUAGCCGGGGCGUCUGCUAGGGCCAGAACCCUUGCGGAGAGCCUGGCCGUGGGGGCUCGAGCGCGGUGCUGGCGUCCUCCUUUGAGGUGGGGAUCCUUCCGCCCGUGUCGCCGUCUGAGGCCGGGCCAGAUUCCGCCGAGGGUGGAAACGACAUCGAGGGUGCUGCUGCUCCCCCUGUCGAUGUCCGAACCUGCAGGAACAGUUUGUCUGAAGUAUGCGUAUGUUUUUCGCGGCCGCCGAGGCCUGAACACUUUAUCAUUGUGUUAUAAAGCUGCGUUUUCUUUCCUCUCGUUUCGAGUAUCAGGACUUGUUCGUCGGUAGCAGAAUCACUUAUCUGAGCGAGAGUUACUUUUCGCGAAAGGUGAUGAGUGAGGUAUCCAUAUCCCGGAGGCGUAGGAGUCCCUCGGCUCGGUCGGCCUUGCCGCUUACGUGCACUCUCAUUCGGUUGUAGGAUUCUAUUAUCGAUAUAGUCGAGAAGGCACGAAAGUCGUUUUCUACCCGAGCGUUAGGACUUGUUCGGUAGCAGGAUCGCUUAUCCGAGCGUGAGAUACUUUUCACGGAAGGUGAUGAGUGAGGUAUCCGUAUCCCAGAGGCGUAGGAGUUCCUCGGCUCGGUCGGCCUUGCCGUUUACAUGUACUCUCGUCGUUUUUAGGAUCCUGUUAUCGAUAUGGAAGUCGAAAGCACAAAAGUCGUUUUCGGUGGAAAACGUUUCUUGGUAGAAAACUUUUCCAAGGAAAAUUUUUGAUGCAGAGGGGGUUCCCCCUUCUAGCCCUUGAGGGAGGGUCGGGCUUUGCCGAGGCAAGGCUGACCCUUCCUUGACGGUUAGACUUUAUGUAAAGAAAACGAGGUACAUAACGACUUGAAACAUUUUAAGGGUAGAAGCGACGUAGCUGUUGGAUGUUCCAAGCGUUGCUGUAGACCUCGCCUUGAUUGUUGGCCAGCUUGUAUGUCCCUGGCUUCAAAAUCUCGGCGAUGAUGAACGGCCCUUCCCAGGGAGGAGUAAGCUUGUGGCGUCCUCGGGCGUCUUGUCACAGCCGAAGCACCAAGUCUCCCACUUGGAAGCCUCGGGGUCGAACCCUUCGGGCGUGGUAGCGUCGCAGAUACUGCUGAUACCGUGCCGAAUGUAGUAAGGCCAUGUCCCGAGUUUCUUCGAGCUGGUCCAGUGAGUCCUCUCGGCUGGUCUGGUUGCUUCGGUUGUCGUAUGCCUUUGUCCUUAGGGAACCGUAUUCUAAGUCUGUGGGGAGGACGGCCUCGGCCCCAUAGACGAGAAAGAACGGCGAGAAACCCGUGGCUCGGCUCGGCGUCGUCCUCAGACUCCAGACUACCGAGGGUAGCUCUUUCAUCCACCGUUUGCCGAACUUGUUGAGUUUGUUGUAAAUCCUCGGUUUAAGUCCCUGCAAAAUCAUACCGUUGGCACGCUCCACCUGCCCAUUCGUCAUGGGGUGAGCUACGGUGGCCCAGUCCACACGGAUGUGGUGGUCCUCGCAGAAGUCCAGGAAUUUCUUCCCGGUGAACUGCGUGCCAUUAUCGGUGAUGAUGGAGUUCGGGACCCCAAAGCGAUGGAUGAUGUUUGUGAAGAACGCCACCGCCUGCUCGGACUUGAAGCUGGUCAAGGGUCGGACCUCGAUCCACUUGGAGAAUUUGUCGAUGGCGACCAGCAGGUGCGAGAAGCCCCCGGGUGCCUUCUGCAAGGGACCGACGAGGUCCAGACCCCACACGGCGAACGACCAGGUGAUGGGUAUCGUCUGCAGGGCCUGAGCAGGCAGGUGCGUCUGCCUUGCGUAUAAUUGACACCCUUGGCAGGAGCGUACAAUCCUAGUGGCGUCGGCUACUACGGUCGGCCAGUAGAAACCUUGUCGGAAGGCGUUUCCCACGAGGGCUCGAGGUGCUGCGUGGUGACCACAAGCCCUCGAGUGUAUUUCUUGCAGCAGCUCUUGUCCUUGGGCGACGGAUAUGCAUCGUUGGAGAAUGCCCGAGGGGCUGCGGUGAUAGAGCUCCUUUUCAUCACCCAGUAAGACGAACGACUUGGCGCGCCGAGCCAGUCGCCGAGCUUCGGCCUUGCCGAGGGGUAGCUCUCCUUGGAGGAGAUAUUCCAGGUACGGGGUCUGCCAGUUCGGGUUUGGCGUGACCCCAUUCCGCUCUCCCUCGACGCACAGGCCUCACCCUCGGCGGCCGAGGAUACCGUCGUCCGCCCCGAGGCUAUUUUAGCCAGCUCGUUCGCAGUCUCGUUGUACCAUUGAGCGAUGUGGUUGAGCUCCAGCCCGUAGAACUUGUCUUCCAGGCGCCGAACUUCGUCGCAGUAUGCCUCCAUCCUUCGGUCGUGGCAGUGGGAGUUCUUCAUGACUUGGUCAAUGACAAGCUGCGAGUCGCCACGAGCGUCGAGGCACCGAACCCCUAGCUCGACGGCGAUGCGCAACCCGUUAACCAAAGCCUCGUACUCGGCCACGUUGUUUGACGCCGGGAAAUGGAGGCGUAUCACGUAGCGAAGAUGCUUUCCGAGGGGUGAAACGAAGAGCAAGCUAGCGCCUGCUCCUGUCUUCAUGAGUGACCCGUCGAAGUACAUGGUGUCGGUGUUUUGGGUCCGACCGCACACCCGGGGUUGCCCCUCAAGGUGUUUUUAGGAGUAGGACGGUGUCAACGACUGUAGCAAAAUGGUUCGUGCCGGUCGCACGAGGGACAAUGUGUGACACCCCAGGUGUCAGUUUCGUGUUAUGACGGGAGAUUAAUCCUAAUCUCGGAUGCUCAGUAAAAAUUUCUCUUUCUCACUCGCGUAUGUCUCUGAUUAUCCAGAUUAUUCAUUCACAUUUCGCCGAAUUCGGAAUUAUUCGAUCUCACAUAAGGCCAAUUUGGAGCCUGUUAAAAACUUUUAUUCUCGACGAAUGCAAACUCGGGAAUCAUUCUCGAUUUAUAAAUCUUGUCUAAAGCUCGUUUAAUCAAGCGCUCGACAGUUGCUAGUCGAGCUGUGUCCGAAUCCAAUUUCUCGAUGUUCGAUCGAUGUCCGACUAUUUUAUCCGAGUCCGUACUCUCAAACGGAAUACUCAGUCUGUCGUCCUCUAAUUAAUUUCUAUCCGAUUCGGCUUAAUAUCUCUGUAUCCAAUCCGAUUUCAAAAUCAACAUCGGCAACGAUUUUUAAAUAUCACGAUUCGCUUUCUCCGACUAAAAAUCCAAAGUCGAUCGAAUCUCAGGACGAUUUAUUUUCCAAUCACACGUAGGGAAUUAAUUUUCGAGCAAAUUCAAAACAGACUCUCGGCCGAGUUAAUCGCGCAACUUUCCGUUCGUCCGAACUCUUUUCGCUCUGUUUCUCAGUAGCGACGAAUUCCGCAGGAACAUUUUAGUCCGGAAAAUAUUUAGCGCGACCCAAUUUAGUGUUUUGGGCCAAAUCUAGCCCGGCCCAAUUAGGCCCAUUUGAAACCCUAACCCUAGCCCAUGUCUAUAAAUAGGAGCUCUCUCCCCUUGCCCUUGGGCUAUUUUGCAUUCCCACCCCUCAUUUUUUUCCAGCCGCCACCGCAGCCUCCCUGUCUUCUUCUCCAUCGCGCAGCAGGCAUCCCACGGCAGCAGCAGCAGGGAGCCGUGCUCCCCUCCAUGGCGAGCAGCAAGCUGGCGCCCCUGCUCCUUCUUCCUCGGCGCUGAAGCUCCUCCCUGGCGUCCAUGGCGCCGGCGUAUCUCCAGCCGCCCCCUGCUCCUUGUUCCACGCGCAGCAGCCACGCGCAGGAAGUAAGGCCAGCAGCCAUGGCGAUUUCCCCUGCGAGCUCCCCUCUCUCCCAUGGCUGACCCUCUGCUCCCUGCACUUGGCGUCCUUGCAGCAGGCGAGCUCAGCUCCACCUCCCUGCGCUCAGCUCAUCUCCCUUGCCCAGCGCCCUCCCUCCUCUCUGUUUUUCCUUGAGCUCACGUGCAGGGAACGACGCCCUUUCUCCUCCACUGCGCUCGACGCCUAGCCCCUUUUCUAUGGCUUGGACGCAGCAGGAGCGGCGCAGGAGCUUUUCCAUCCAUGGCUGUUUCCCCCUGCCGAGCCCUUCCUUUCUCUGUGCUUUGGAUGAGCCUCUGCUCCCUAUGCUGAUCUCCACCUUGCCAUGGCGUUGCUCGCCGGGGAUCCCCUGCAGGGCGCCGUCGUGGCCUCGCCGGGCUCCUGCUCGCCGGCGAGCCCAUGUGCUCAUGGCACUUCCCUGCCUUCUCUUUGUCCCAAACAUCCAGCAGCAGGGAUCGGAUCAACGCCGCAGCGCCCAGCCAUGGUGGCUGUAGGCCGAGUCCCUCUCCCAACCAGUGCCCUCCCUGUUUCCCUGGACGACGCUGUCCCUUCCCAUGCCGCUGCUCCACCACACACACUACCUGCUCGACGAUAUGCGUAGCCGACUGCGUGUUGUCUUGCUUGUGUUGUGCGCAGCCCUGCUCGCCUCUUUUCGGUGUUGUCAAACUAUCGGUGUGGAGCACUGUGUCGAGGACAACAUCGUCGACUUUUAUUCCGGUGCGCUGCUCAAUCCAUGCUGCCCCGCUGUGCCUUGUAGCGCUGUGGAUCCACGGCAUGGUCUCGACGUCGCUCUCCUUGCAGCCACACCCCUGCUGCUCCCACAUGCCGCACCACAUCAAAAAAAAAAAAUCCUGCAACCACGCCUCUCCUCGUGCUUGCUGUGCUGUCGCGCGCAGCGAGAACCAUAGCGCCACGACUCGUUCCUGCUCGGCGAGAGCAGCCGCGUCAUCAAUCCGUGCAGCCCCGACGCCUCCGCGUCUCGCUUCGUCGGGUCUGCACAGCCUCUUCGCGCCAUGCGGACAGCAGCAACAACUAAGUUAUUUUUGGUAAGUUGAUUUGUUGUUUUGGAUAAAGUUGAUAAAUAAAUAGAUGUAUGGUGACCGUGAUGAUUCUCGAGCAAUAAGUGAUGAUUUAAUAGUAUCAUUUAGUAUUCGGUAGUUGUAGAUUAUAUAAAGGGUGCUCGAAGACUGCAUUUGUCGAAUAUGGUUAACUAGAUGCUAUGCACAUAAUAAUUGGUAACGAUGAUUUUGUGUACAACGUUAGGGAGAUGAUCGCCUCUAUGGUUGAAACGUUUGGUGGUAGGUCGUAAUUGGUUGUGUUCGCAACGUGGAAUUAUGGUAGGCAUCAUCAGUGCCCAUGCUGUAUUAGAUUAAGCUUUGUUAUACGAUAAAACUAAAAACGUGAAUGUCAUAUAUAGUGUUUCAAUUGAGUUAGCCCGUAGAUUUAAUAUGUGUCGAUCGCAAUGAAUUAUCAGUAGGGCCUAAAUGGUGAGUUAUGUGUGAACUGUGUUAGAGCCCUUCCGAGAUAAAUAGAUUUAACCUAUGUUGUGUUGUCAUACAAAUAACCUAGAAAGGUGGUAUAUGUUAAUAAUUGGAAGGACAGUUGUUCAAAUUGGUCAGUUCGAUUAAGAAUGAUUUUUGCGUGUGAGGGGAGGUGGUGACAUACCAAGGUAGUCAUCAAUUCCUCUAUGUUUAUAAGUCGAGUCGAGUCGAUGCACAGUUUGUGUUCAUUAAAUUAUGUUUUGCAUAUAGUGUAAUGGAGUUAGUUGUUUUGGGAUAAUUAUUAAAAUGUUCUGUUCACAUGAUAAAUAUGUAUGAUUGUAAAAACAUUGAAGUGUAUGUUGUGUCUCAGUCUGCGAUCAUAAUAGGCAAGUCGAUGUGUAUGUCGUAUGGCGGGCUAUGCCAUCCCUUUGGUUAAUCGACUAGUUAGAUGGCGUUGGUUAAGCUCGUAGUUACGAUGAAUUACUUGUUGUGGUCUAAAUGCGUAUGGUUAUGGUCGCAUGUAAAAAUUAGUAGUGCUCAUGUGGCGUCUAAGUUAAAAUGCGGACUAAUGGGUGAAAGGCGCUUCGAUAUAAAUAUGUGCCGGAUUUGAUGAUUGUGGUGAAUGCGUUUGUUAAAUGAAUGUGGUAAUUUUAGUGCACUAAAUGAUUUGGAUAAAAUUUGUAAGUCUACUUGUUAGUGCUCAAUUGAUUGUUUUAACUCUAACAAAUGGUAAAGUGUUAGAAUGAUUCAAUUCUCUAGAUCAUGGCAAUUCUUGAAUUGUAUAGGAGCUGAAAUUUAUUAAUUUCUGUUUUGGACUGCGCGCGCUGUUUUAGUUGUGCUGUAUGUUUGAUGAACUAAAUUGUGUUUUCUGUAGAUAUGUGCUAUAGAAAAGUGGUAGAUAACCUUAUUAUCUUGCUGGUGUUAAAAUUUGACAGCCAUAGGUCUGACAGUUUAGGAGUUAUGCUUUUUACAAAUUCAGUAACUGAAUCUGUCCAAAUUCUGUACAGAUUUCAGAAACUGUAUUGUUUGUUCAAUUUAAUGUUGCAAUCUGUUCAUGGUCAUUAUAAGAAAGUUGUAGAUGCUUUUCUGAUCUUUCUUGUGUUAAAAUUUGAUAACCACAGGCCUGAUAGUUUAAGAGUUAUGAAUUUUACAAACUGCUUGCUGUGUUCUGUCCACUAUCAGGGCAGAUUUCGAAAACUGUAAUGUUUGAUUGGAUUAAAUCUGGAAUCACUUCUUUGUGAUUAUAAAAGUUAUGUAGUGCUUUUGCUGAGCUUUCCAGAAAGUCUUGGAUCACUAUUUUUGGUGAUCUGAAGAUUAAGUUAUGGAUGUUUAAAGUCUGAAGACUGAAUCUGUCCAAUUCUGGACAGCAAAGCCUUCUAGUGUAUUUUAUCCUUAGUUAAAUAUUGAAUCACCUUAAGAUGUUUAUAAAUGAUAUGUAGACAAUUUUAUUACCUUUCCAGAAAGUCUAGGAUCACAUUGUUUGGAUGUCUGAAUCUCCAGUUGUGAAUUUUUGAAGUUGCAAGUCUGAAUCUGUCCAAAUCUGGACAGCGCUGUUGUGUUAACAUCUUUUGACCUUGCUAAGUGUUUAAUCAUGUUGUGAUGACAAUACCAAAGUUGUAGAGAACUUUCUAAACUUUCCAGAAAGUAUUAGUUUGCUAUUUUUGGAUUAAUAUUUGAAAAGUUAUGAUUAAAACAAGUAGCUGCUGUGCUGCUGUCCUAAAAAUCUGCAUGUGCUCAAAUGAAUAUUUAGUUCACCAUUUUGGCUAAAAAUGCUUAGUUAGCACUUAACGAAUAUAGACUUGUGAUGGCUAAACUUAGGUUAACAUGUGCUUCAUGAUUAAUGUGCUUGCUUGCUGUAGUUGAUUGUGAUAGAGGAGUCCAUCGACAUUGAUGCGUCGGUCCUCUAUUAAACUUGUGUUUGUGAUGCUUUUGUGUGAUCAAUAGAACUAAUGCAAAGUCGUAGCAAUUAAAUAAAUGUGUGUACCUGUGAUAUCGUAUUUGUGUUGCGUAAAUAAAUAAGAUAUGGUCGUCUUGUUAAUGGUGUUAAUGAUGAACGCUGAUAACGUACGAAUAGCUAGCGCUUGUGUAUAGUCGUUGCGGUGUCUUACUACUUGGUGUUUAGUUCGCUACCGUGUAUUGUAUAUCUUGUGAUAACUUUUCAUUAUAUUCAUACAUAUGCAUCUUGCAUCUCAUUUAGGAUCGAGAGAUGGUGAUCGUGCACGUGAUAUGGUGCCAACCACAAGAUGCCGUUGGUGGACGACCCAAGGAAGGAUGGACUUAACCAGUGGAUGCUCGCCAAGCGAGUACCUCCCCAGCAAACACUGUCUAAGUGUUAAAUUAAAGGCAAGCCCCGGUUUUAUGCAUAACCGUUUAUAUAUGCUAUUUUACUACACUUAAUGUUUGUAGGCUUGUGCUGUGCACUUAAGUGUAGGAGUUGACUGAAACCCUAGUUGCAUGAACUCAGGAUUCCUUUUUGAAAUGGAUACUAGUAUGAUAGGUCGAGUAGCUGCUUUACUAAUUAGGGAUCUCGGUAGAAGUCGAGUGAUUUUUCUAGCACUCGCGCGAGGUCAGGACAUUGAUUGUACCCACUUUCAUAUCGUACUGAUGUUGGUUUGUGGGCAACAAUCCAUGGGGAUUUGUUGUCCACGGGAUAAAAAUUGGAAUAAGGAUUAAGGUGUGGUACCGUGAGUCAAGCGUUUGAACGUACUAAGCACAUGCCGAGAAAUAUGGUAAAUCGGUAAGCCUAGUACCUGAUUGAACCUGGCAGUGGACUUUACCCCUCACGCGACCUGAGACGAGGUCUCCCAUUCCGGUUAUGGUGGGUACAAGUGCGGUCACUGCACGACGGCCAGUCGGGGUCAGUGAGGCAUUGUACGCCAAGGCGGUGAGCCCUGAUCCGCUGACGGGGAAUCGAUGGGGACGGUUGAUAUGUGUGGGGACGGAGUGCCCCUACAUGUCGUGUGUUUAGGUUUACCUUGCAAGGAUAAAAACUCGAUUCGAAUCGUCUGCUUCUCGCAGCUAAUGAGACUGCUUGAUCCAUGCUGCUACAUUGAGUAAUAAGUGGAAAUGAGGUGACUGGCAAAAGAUGUUGAUUGAUAAAAUGUUUGAUACCAUGUAUGAAUAGCUAGGUACUCAUCUAGUUUAAAAGGAUCAUACUAAAACUUGAAAAGCUAAAACUUGAUUUUAGACUCAGCUAGUGCUUUUGGCAAACCAAACCCCUCAGCCAAACAGCUGCAUGUCUAGAGGUAGAGGAGUAGACUCCUCACACCGGGUAAGUCUAGCUGAGUAUUAGUAUACUCAGCCUUGCUUGUGGCACAAUUUUUGCAGGUACUCCUUGAUUGAUUGAUGGUGUGACUUGGCCUUCAUCCCUGCCACCGGGAUAGAUGGUCGAGUGGGUUAUUGCUUCCGCGGGAGAGGACCAGGAGGAGUACUGUGGCCAGGCUUCGCCAUGUUACUCGGUUUUCUCCGUUAGUUAUUUACGCUGCAUUAAAAUUUAUGGUUAUUAUUUCUGAAACUCCGAUAAUGUAAUCACUAAAGAUACUUAUUAAAUUUGUGGUAUUAUGUUUUAUUGUAUUUCUCUGUGCCUCACCUUCGUGUGAGAUAGUGGUAUUCGAUCCUGGAUAAGUGGCUUUAUCGGACUAGAUCCGAGGGACUGACGGAUUAUUCCUGUUUAAGUGUGUUGCUGCCCUUAAGGGUGCGACUUGGGCACUUAAGCUGGAAUAAUUCGGGCGGUUCCGCCACAGCUGGUAUCGGAGCGAAUACUAUCACAGAGAAGUCAAUAAGUCAUGAUUACCGACCUUUUCUAAAGUAAAACUUGCUAGAAACCAAUGUUGGAUAGAUCGUCAGGACGAUAAGGAUAGACUUAGGACGUGAAGCCUUAGGAAAUAGAUGGGUAGCUAGGUGGCUAUAUUUAUAUAGGCCAUAAAGGCUACUACUACUAUUAACUAGGAUGCUGUAGAAGCAUCCGAAAAAUUAGUUAGGUCUGAAAAGACGCCUAGAAUGAGCAUGCAUCAUGAUUGUUGCAUUAUUAUCCCUUGUGCACCAACGUGCUUCUCUCACCUUUAUUCCAAUAAUAAGAAAUUAUGAAUAAUGUGUUGUAUUGCUAUGAACUGCAAAAAAAAUGCCUUACCUCGUAUCAAAUUGGUAAGUCUUGUUAGGUCGUGCUACGUGUUUCUCUUGCCUUGCUAGCUAGGUGGUAUUGUAAUUGUUCACCUCUCUUUGCCAAUAAAAAUUGUUGCCUGUUUUGCCCAUAAAAGACCCCCCUUCUCCAAACAACCUUGAGUUUAGCAACUAAAACCUCUUAAAAAAAUCAUGAUGGUGUUGGUGUUUUCUAGCCCUUGUGUGUUGCGCUAUUGGUAAUGCACCUGCACAGCUUAUAGACCCCCAUAGCUUAACCACUAGCCAAACCGGAACUUCCUUGUGCACGCGGUUAUGUCAAAAAAAAACAUCGUUUGUUGUCUAGUUGCGCAAACCAUGACCAAGCCAUGUUUCUUUCCAUAAAUCCUUGCCCCUAAAACUUCAUAGCGUUUCUGUCGAUCAUCCUAGCUGAUCCUGUUUGCCUACCUCUCCUUUCGCCUGGAUCUGGUAAUCCUUCUUCUUGUGAAUCAUGUUUGCUUUAUCGUCCGAAUCUCGGGAUCCCCAAUUGAUUCUGCCCCGUUAGCUGGUUAUCUGCUAUAACCCGUUCUCAAGUAUCGAAUGUUGAUCUUGCCUAAAUCUCUCAUUCUAAUUAUUCUCAUACUCUUUCUCCAAGGAUCAUGACGUCAUUUUAUCAACUUAUCUCUAAUCAGUGUAUCCAUUUAGUCAAUGGAUUUCAUUGUUGUCCUUGGUUCUCUCAUGUCUCUAAAAGCUCAACAAUCUAUUUUGAUCUCAUGGUCGGUUCAUCCUCAUAUCAAAUCUCAUGCUAAUAUCUGAUCUGAUAAUCUCUAUGUUGAUCAUAAAAUAGUUCUCUGAGUUAAAUAAAAAAAUUCUCAUCUGAUGCUCUUUUGCCAACAAUCUUUGCUUCAACUUCAGUCACAUUUUCUGAGCCAUACUCUCAUGGGCUCCAUCUAUUUAUGCUAUGUGGAAUUCUCGUUGGUUACGUUUGGUAAUGGUGUCAUGACUAACGACUGAUGAUGCCGCGACGAAACCGAGAGCCUACUAUGGUGCACACAUGGUUGAGCUGCUCGGCACGCGCUGGUAUCAUGGUUAAUAGUCGUGGUCCAUUACGAGACUAUACUGCUAUCUUUCAUGGAUAUUCUCUCAAAAGUGAUCGCUGCAUUUUGUCUCGAUAUGUCGCGAUAUUCUAACCAAAUCUGUCUUCAGUAUCUUGUCAGAUACCCUCUCAUAAAUUUGCAUCUAUCUUCAGUCUGGGAGUUACAUGCUUCUCCACCCUUAAAUAUCCUCAUUCGAAUCUCGGGACGAGAUUCUUUUUAAGGGGGGAAGGCUGUGACACCCCAGGUGUCAGUUUCGUGUUAUGACGGGAGAUUAAUCCUAAUCUCGGAUGCUCAGUAAAAAUUUCUCUUUCUCACUCGCGUAUGUCUCUGAUUAUCCAGAUUAUUCAUUCACAUUUCGCCGAAUUCGGAAUUAUUCGAUCUCACAGAAGGCCAAUUUGGAGCCUGUUAAAAACUUUUAUUCUCGACGAAUGCAAACUCGGGAAUCAUUCUCGAUUUAUAAAUCUUGUCUAAAGCUCGUUUAAUCAAGCGCUCGACAGUUGCUAGUCGAGCUGUGUCCGAAUCCAAUUUCUCGAUGUUCGAUCGAUGUCCGACUAUUUUAUCCGAGUCCGUACUCUCAAACGGAAUACUCAGUCUGUCGUCCUCUAAUUAAUUUCUAUCCGAUUCGGCUUAAUAUCUCUGUAUCCAAUCCGAUUUCAAAAUCAACAUCGGCAACGAUUUUUAAAUAUCACGAUUCGCUUUCUCCGACUAAAAAUCCAAAGUCGAUCGAAUCUCAGGACGAUUUAUUUUCCAAUCACACGUAGGGAAUUAAUUUUCGAGCAAAUUCAAAACAGACUCUCGGCCGAGUUAAUCGCGCAACUUUCCGUUCGUCCGAACUCUUUUCGCUCUGUUUCUCAGUAGCGACGAAUUCCGCAGGAACAUUUUAGUCCGGAAAAUAUUUAGCGCGACCCAAUUUAGUGUUUUGGGCCAAAUCUAGCCCGGCCCAAUUAGGCCCAUUUGAAACCCUAACCCUAGCCCAUGUCUAUAAAUAGGAGCUCUCUCCCCUUGCCCUUGGGCUAUUUUGCAUUCCCACCCCUCAUUUUUUUCCAGCCGCCACCGCAGCCUCCCUGUCUUCUUCUCCAUCGCGCAGCAGGCAUCCCACGGCAGCAGCAGCAGGGAGCCGUGCUCCCCUCCAUGGCGAGCAGCAAGCUGGCGCCCCUGCUCCUUCUUCCUCGGCGCUGAAGCUCCUCCCUGGCGUCCAUGGCGCCGGCGUAUCUCCAGCCGCCCCCUGCUCCUUGUUCCACGCGCAGCAGCCACGCGCAGGAAGUAAGGCCAGCAGCCAUGGCGAUUUCCCCUGCGAGCUCCCCUCUCUCCCAUGGCUGACCCUCUGCUCCCUGCACUUGGCGUCCUUGCAGCAGGCGAGCUCAGCUCCACCUCCCUGCGCUCAGCUCAUCUCCCUUGCCCAGCGCCCUCCCUCCUCUCUGUUUUUCCUUGAGCUCACGUGCAGGGAACGACGCCCUUUCUCCUCCACUGUGCUCGACGCCUAGCCCCUUUUCUAUGGCUUGGACGCAGCAGGAGCGGCGCAGGAGCUUUUCCAUCCAUGGCUGUUUCCCCCUGCCGAGCCCUUCCUUUCUCUGUGCUUUGGAUGAGCCUCUGCUCCCUAUGCUGAUCUCCACCUUGCCAUGGCGUUGCUCGCCGGGGAUCCCCUGCAGGGCGCCGUCGUGGCCUCGCCGGGCUCCUGCUCGCCGGCGAGCCCAUGUGCUCAUGGCACUUCCCUGCCUUCUCUUUGUCCCAAACAUCCAGCAGCAGGGAUCGGAUCAACGCCGCAGCGCCCAGCCAUGGUGGCUGUAGGCCGAGUCCCUCUCCCAACCAGUGCCCUCCCUGUUUCCCUGGACGACGCUGUCCCUUCCCAUGCCGCUGCUCCACCACACACACUACCUGCUCGACGAUAUGCGUAGCCGACUGCGUGUUGUCUUGCUUGUGUUGUGCGCAGCCCUGCUCGCCUCUUUUCGGUGUUGUCAAACUAUCGGUGUGGAGCACUGUGUCGAGGACAACAUCGUCGACUUUUAUUCCGGUGCGCUGCUCAAUCCAUGCUGCCCCGCUGUGCCUUGUAGCGCUGUGGAUCCACGGCAUGGUCUCGACGUCGCUCUCCUUGCAGCCACACCCCUGCUGCUCCCACAUGCCGCACCACAUCAAAAAAAAAAUCCUGCAACCACGCCUCUCCUCGUGCUUGCUGUGCUGUCGCGCGCAGCGAGAACCAUAGCGCCACGACUCGUUCCUGCUCGGCGAGAGCAGCCGCGUCAUCAAUCCGUGCAGCCCCGACGCCUCCGCGUCUCGCUUCGUCGGGUCUGCACAGCCUCUUCGCGCCAUGCGGACAGCAGCAACAACUAAGUUAUUUUUGGUAAGUUGAUUUGUUGUUUUGGAUAAAGUUGAUAAAUAAAUAGAUGUAUGGUGACCGUGAUGAUUCUCGAGCAAUAAGUGAUGAUUUAAUAGUAUCAUUUAGUAUUCGGUAGUUGUAGAUUAUAUAAAGGGUGCUCGAAGACUGCAUUUGUCGAAUAUGGUUAACUAGAUGCUAUGCACAUAAUAAUUGGUAACGAUGAUUUUGUGUACAACGUUAGGGAGAUGAUCGCCUCUAUGGUUGAAACGUUUGGUGGUAGGUCGUAAUUGGUUGUGUUCGCAACGUGGAAUUAUGGUAGGCAUCAUUAGUGCCCAUGCUGUAUUAGAUUAAGCUUUGUUAUACGAUAAAACUAAAAACGUGAAUGUCAUAUAUAGUGUUUCAAUUGAGUUAGCCCGUAGAUUUAAUAUGUGUCGUUCGCAAUGAAUUAUCAGUAGGGCCUAAAUGGUGAGUUAUGUGUGAACUGUGUUAGAGCCCUUCCGAGAUAAAUAGAUUUAACCUAUGCUGUGUUGUCAUACAAAUAACCUAGAAAGGUGGUAUAUGUUAAUAAUUGGAAGGACAGUUGUUCAAAUUGGUCAGUUCGAUUAAGAAUGAUUUUUGCGUGUGAGGGGAGGUGGUGACAUACCAAGGUAGUCAUCAAUUCCUCUAUGUUUAUAAGUCGAGUCGAGUCGAUGCGCAAUUUGUGUUCAUUAAAUUAUGCUUUGCAUAUAGUGUAAUGGAGUUAGUUGUUUUGGGAUAAUUAUUAAAAUGUUCUGUUCACAUGAUAAAUAUGUAUGAUUGUAAAAACAUUGAAGUGUAUGUUGUGUCUCAGUCUGCGAUCAUAAUAGGCAAGUCGAUGUGUAUGUCGUAUGGCGGGCUAUGCCAUCCCUUUGGUUAAUCGACUAGUUAGAUGGCGUUGGUUAAGCUCGUAGUUACGAUGAAUUACUUGUUGUGGUCUAAAUGCGUAUGGUUAUGGUCGCAUGUAAAAAUUAGUAGUGCUCAUGUGGCGUCUAAGUUAAAAUGCGGACUAAUGGGUGAAAGGCGCUUCGAUAUAAAUAUGUGCCGGAUUUGAUGAUUGUGGUGAAUGCGUUUGUUAAAUGAAUGUGGUAAUUUUAGUGCACUAAAUGAUUUGGAUAAAAUUUGUAAGUCUACUUGUUAGUGCUCAAUUGAUUGUUUUAACUCUAACAAAUGGUAAAGUGUUAGAAUGAUUCAAUUCUCUAGAUCAUGGCAAUUCUUGAGUUGUAUAGGAGUUGAAAUUUAUUAAUUUCUGUUUUGGACUGCGCGCGCUGUUUUAGUUGUGCUGUAUGUUUGAUGAACUAAAUUGUGUUUUCUGUAGAUAUGUGCUAUAAAAAAGUGGUAGAUAACCUUAUUAUCUUGCUGGUGUUAAAAUUUGACAGCCAUAGGUUUGACAGUUUAGGAGUUAUGCUUUUUACAAAUUCAGUAACUGAAUCUGUCCAAAUUCUGUACAGAUUUCAGAAACUGUAUUGUUUGUUCAAUUUAAUGUUGCAAUCUGUUCAUGGUCAUUAUAAGAAAGUUGUAGAUGCUUUUCUGAUCUUUCUUGUGUUAAAAUUUGAUAACCACAGGCCUGAUAGUUUAAGAGUUAUGAAUUUUACAAACUGCUUGCUGUGUUCUGUCCACUAUCAGGGCAAAUUUCGAAAACUGUAAUGUUUCAUUGGAUUAAAUCUGGAAUCACUUCUUUGUGAUUAUAAAAGUUAUGUAGUGCUUUUGCUGAGCUUUCCAGAAAGUCUUGGAUCACUAUUUUUGGUGAUCUGAAGAUUAAGUUAUGGAUGUUUAAAGUCUGAAGACUGAAUCUGUCCAAUUCUGGACAGCAAAGCCUUCUAGUGUAUUUUAUCCUUAGUUAAAUAUUGAAUCACCUUAAGAUGUUUAUAAAUGAUAUGUAGACAAUUUUAUUACCUUUCCAGAAAGUCUAGGAUCACAUUGUUUGGAUGUCUGAAUCUCCAGUUGUGAAUUUUUGAAGUUGCAAGUCUGAAUCUGUCCAAAUCUGGACAGCGCUGUUGUGUUAACAUCUUUUGACCUUGCUAAGUGUUUAAUCAUGUUGUGAUGACAAUACCAAAGUUGUAGAGAACUUUCUAAACUUUCCAGAAAGUAUUAGUUUGCUAUUUUUGGAUUAAUAUUUGAAAAGUUAUGAUUAAAACAAGUAGCUGCUGUGCUGCUGUCCUAAAAAUCUGCAUGUGCUCAAAUGAAUAUUUAGUUCACCAUUUUGGCUAAAAAUGCUUAGUUAGCACUUAACGAAUAUAGACUUGUGAUGGCUAAACUUAGGUUAACAUGUGCUUCAUGAUUAAUGUGCUUGCUUGCUGUAGUUGAUUGUGAUAGAGGAGUCCAUCGACAUUGAUGCGUCGGUCCUCUAUUAAACUUGUGUUUGUGAUGCUUUUGUGUGAUCAAUAGAACUAAUGCAAAGUCGUAGCAAUUAAAUAAAUGUGUGUACCUGUGAUAUCGUAUUUGUGUUGCGUAAAUAAAUAAGAUAUGGUCGUCUUGUUAAUGGUGUUAAUGAUGAACGCUGAUAACGUACGAAUAGCUAGCGCUUGUGUAUAGUCGUUGCGGUGUCUUACUACUUGGUGUUUAGUUCGCUACCGUGUAUUGUAUAUCUUGUGAUAACUUUUCAUUAUAUUCAUACAUAUGCAUCUUGCAUCUCAUUUAGGAUCGAGAGAUGGUGAUCGUGCACGUGAUAUGGUGCCAACCACAGGAUGCCGUUGGUGGACGACCCAAGGAAGGAUGGACUUAACCAGUGGAUGCUCGCCAAGCGAGUACCUCCCCAGCAAACACUGUCUAAGUGUUAAAUUAAAGGCAAGCCCCGGUUUUAUGCAUAACCGUUUAUAUAUGCUAUUUUACUACACUUAAUGUUUGUAGGCUUGUGCUGUGCACUUAAGUGUAGGAGUUGACUGAAACCCUAGUUGCAUGAACUCAGGAUUCCUUUUUGAAAUGGAUACUAGUAUGAUAGGUCGAGUAGCUGCUUUACUAAUUAGGGAUCUCGGUAGAAGUCGAGUGAUUUUUCUAGCACUCGCGCGAGGUCAGGACAUUGAUUGUACCCACUUUCAUAUCGUACUGAUGUUGGUUUGUGGGCAACAAUCCAUGGGGAUUUGUUGUCCACGGGAUAAAAAUUGGAAUAAGGAUUAAGGUGUGGUACCGUGAGUCAAGCGUUUGAACGUACUAAGCACAUGCCGAGAAAUAUGGUAAAUCGGUAAGCCUAGUACCUGAUUGAACCUGGCAGUGGACUUUACCCCUCACGCGACCUGAGACGAGGUCUCCCAUUCCGGUUAUGGUGGGUACAAGUGCGGUCACUGCACGACGGCCAGUCGGGGUCAGUGAGGCAUUGUACGCCAAGGCGGUGAGCCCUGAUCCGCUGACGGGGAAUCGAUGGGGACGGUUGAUAUGUGUGGGGACGGAGUGCCCCUACAUGUCGUGUGUUUAGGUUUACCUUGCAAGGAUAAAAACUCGAUUCGAAUCGUCUGCUUCUCGCAGCUAAUGAGACUGCUUGAUCCAUGCUGCUACAUUGAGUAAUAAGUGGAAAUGAGGUGACUGGCAAAAGAUGUUGAUUGAUAAAAUGUUUGAUACCAUGUAUGAAUAGCUAGGUACUCAUCUAGUUUAAAAGGAUCAUACUAAAACUUGAAAAGCUAAAACUUGAUUUUAGACUCAGCUAGUGCUUUUGGCAAACCAAACCCCUCAGCCAAACAGCUGCAUGUCUAGAGGUAGAGGAGUAGACUCCUCACACCGGGUAAGUCUAGCUGAGUAUUAGUAUACUCAGCCUUGCUUGUGGCACAAUUUUUGCAGGUACUCCUUGAUUGAUUGAUGGUGUGACUUGGCCUUCAUCCCUGCCACCGGGAUAGAUGGUCGAGUGGGUUAUUGCUUCCGCGGGAGAGGACCAGGAGGAGUACUGUGGCCAGGCUUCGCCAUGUUACUCGGUUUUCUCCGUUAGUUAUUUCCGCUGCAUUAAAAUUUAUGGUUAUUAUUUCUGAAACUCCGAUAAUGUAAUCACUAAAGAUACUUAUUAAAUUUGUGGUAUUAUGUUUUAUUGUAUUUCUCUGUGCCUCACCUUCGUGUGAGAUAGUGGUAUUCGAUCCUGGAUAAGUGGCUUUAUCGGACUAGAUCCGAGGGACUGACGGAUUAUUCCUGUUUAAGUGUGUUGCUGCCCUUAAGGGUGCGACUUGGGCACUUAAGCUGGAAUAAUUCGGGCGGUUCCGCCACACAAUGGACAAGAUUUGCAGGUUCGGGCCGCUUAGAAGUGCGUAACACCCUACGUCCUGGUGAGUAUAUGAGCGUGGUUACAAGAGGGUUCUCUGGAUAGAGGGCGCAGAGAGUUUAUGUGGGUGGCUAAGUAGAACAGGGUCCAUCCUUCUGAAGGGGUGCCCCCUAGGCCUUAUAUACUCGGCCGUGGAGCAGUACAUGUGAUAUGAUAACAACAAGUAGCUAAAAGAUAGUGAACCUCUUGAGUUUAUCCCUACGUAACCCUCGACGACUUAUCCUCGCAUGGCUCUGUUGCAUGGGGGCUUUAGCGCGGGAAAGUCGGGUCUCUGUUGCGAUUCAUUCGUUCGACGUUGUGGGCCGUCUGGGUUUGCACUAAUCAGUCUCACGUCUUCUUUUCUUUGUUGGUUGUCUUUCCCUAGGCCCACGAAAGAAUGACCUUACGAAUUAUUGGGCCCUUGGGCCUUUCGUGAGGCCUUUUACUUCUUUAGUGGACCCAGGGGAUAUCUAUCCCCCACAAGCCCCCGAUCUUUGGGUUGAUUUAGAGGUAAUCAACUCAAAGAUCCAAGGUCCAAAAAAUGACUUCCUGCUGUCUUCUCUGGCUCUGAUCACUCGUUCGACCAAAGUUUGGUUUUGUGCUUGUGCCUUAGAGGUCGGCAUUUUGGAUUGUAAGACUCUGGACUUCAUUGGGUGCACCGGAGGUGCACCCAAUGGGUGUAGCCCCCGACCUUUGAGUAGAUUUUAGAAGAUAAUCUACUCGAAGGUCUUCUUCCAAAGGUUAUCUCCAUUCGCGCUCCUGCAUCUCGGUUGAGGAUUGGUCUUUUCAAUCUUGCUCUACGCCUUAGAGGUCGGCGCUAUAUCGGUUUAGAAUAAUACUCCAUGGGGUGCACCGGAGGUGCACCCAAUGGGUGUAGCCCCCGACCUUCAAAUGGAUUUUUUAAGGAUAAUCCAUUCGAAGGUCUUCCUUUCGCUUGUGGAAACUGGCAUGAAGCUAUUUUGCAUUAUGCUUUGGAGGUCAGCAUUAUGUCAUCAAUAUUUUGCUGCAAAGGUCAGCGUAUAUUUUGUCUUUAGCAGCCGAGUUUGCAAUCCAUCCAUAUCUUGCUAGGUAGUGCAAUUUAUUUGCUUCUGCGAUUGAUUGGACGUUUGACGGACGUUCUCUGUCUAGUCUUCACGUCGCUUCUGUCGGCCAUAUCUUGUACUUUGCUAGCUAUAUUUGGCUUUCCUCUGAUCCUUACUGAUAUCUCAUUUUUGUCUUGAGGUAUUCACUGCAUGCCCUGCACGGAUGUGACCGUUUUGAAAAAUAUACUGAUAAUUCCUGGGCGUCCCCCCCAAUGGGUGUGGGCAAGGGACGGCUUGGUACGCUGAGUGUUUUAGCCGGUUGCCUCUGAGUAGUAAUGCGAUGGGACGGCUAGUGUAAUCAUAUCCUUUGCGCUGUUGACUGGAGUCCCAAUAGGUGUAGUGUUGCAUGAAACGGCGUCCGCCGUCUGACGUGUCUUCAGAUGGGUGGAAGUGCUUAUUGAAUGCCUUGCGACUGUUCAGUGACCGCGGUUAGAAGUGAGCGGUUGCCUUUCCCUUCUAUAAAUAACACCUUUGCUUCUCUGGUUUUUUCACAUCUCUUCGCUGCUCUUUACCGCCUUCUUCUUCCUCCCUUCUGUCUGCUUCCACCAUGGGCAAGAACAACAAGCGCAAGCGUGAGCCGACUCCUCCAUCGGAGGAGUUUGGUGACUCGGAAUACUCAGAGGAGGAGUUCUCCUCUGAGUCCGAGGGGUCUCCGGCUCCCAUCCCCCUGUGUGAGUCGUCUGAUGACUCAGACGACUCCCAGGGGCUUGCGGCGGAGGUCUGGACGUACAUCCGGGCCGUCGAGCGCUCCGGGCUCGAGGGCUCGGAUGAGUCUGAGUUCUCCUCGGACGAGGAGGACUCGGACGGCGGCGAGGGCGAAGAUGACGACGACGACGACGGCGACGACGACAACGGAGGCGACGACGACGGUGAUGGCGGCAACGGCGGCGGAGGCAGCGGCGGCAAGGGCGGCACCAAGGGCAGCAGCAGUGUGGGCAGCACCGGAGGCGGCGGCGGCAAGGGCAGCGGCGGCAGGGCCAGUGGCUAAACGCCACUGGUCUUUAAAUAUUAGUAUAGUUAGAAUAAUGUAGUAGUAAUGUAGGGUAGUAUAGUGUAGUUUAGUAGUAGUAGUAAUGUAGAGUAGAAGUAGGGAAGCACCAACUCCUGAGGAGUUGGUUUGUAAACUUAUUAACUUCCCUUUAAUCAAGAACUGUCGUUGAUCCCCCCUUUUCGAUGACUUGUCGUUGCUUUUCCUGAAUGUUGAACUGAUUCUUUUGAUAUAGUAGAAACAACGCCGAGCGAUGUGAAGGUUGACAUCAGCGUUUUAGAAGUAACACCAAGCAAUCGAACACAAGACCAGCGUUUUAGAGGCAAUGCCGAAUGAUAGAAGGUCGGCAUCGGCAUUUUAGAAGUAAUGCCGAGCGACAGAAUACGGGGUCGGCGUUUUAGAAACAACGCCGAGUGAUUGAAGGUCGGCGUCGGCAUUUUUAGAAGUAAUGCCGAGCGAUUGAACACGUGGUCGGUGUGUUAGAGGACACGCCGAGUGAUUGGAGGUCGGCGUCGGCAUUUUAGAAGUAAUGCCGAGCGAUUGAACACGUGGUCGGCGUGUUAGAGGACACGCCGAGUGAUUGAAGGUCGGCGUCGGCAUUUUAGAAGUAAUGCCGAGCGAUUGAACACGUGGUCGGCGUGUUAGAGGACACGCCAAGUGAUUGAAGGUCGGCUUCGGCAUUUUAGAGGCAACGCCGAGCGAUUGAACACGUGGUCGGCGUUUUAGAGGCAACGCCGAGUGAUUGAAGGUCGGCGUCGGCAUUUUAGAAGUAAUGCCGAGCGAUUGAACACGUGGUCGGCGUUUUAGAGGCAACGCCGAGUGAUAGCCAGCUUCACAAGUUACUUUGAGGAAAAUAACCGAGUGAUGAGGUGGCACGUCGGCUUUCUUGGAAAUAACUGUCGGAUAUCCACGUGGCAUGCUGGGAUUUCGGAAAUGACCGCCGGGUGAUGACUGGGCACUUUUUGAAAGGGUAUCUGGCUCAAGAAUAUCCCUUAAGAGUCGCGCUUUUAGCCGCCUUUGCUUUCCGUGCCCUAGUUCUUGCAUUUCCGCAUCUGAAUCUUCUCUGCCACUCGCCUCCUACUCUGUUUCGCCAGUGAGAAGCAAGAUGGCGCCCAAGAGAAAAACUGCGAACUCGUCUGCUGCAGUGAUCCCCGCAAUCGACCCCAACAGCCAGUUACCCUUCGCAGGUAACCACAUGUCUGUAAUUUCUGAAGCUGAGCUUCUCCGCCUUGUCUCCAUCGGGGUUCUUCCUCCGCGGGAACUCUGUUCUUGGCGGGUUUGCCACGGGACUACUGUCCCAACCGAAGAUACCCACGAGUCAGUAGUUUACACUCCUUUCCUUCUUCGCGGCCUCGGCCUUCCCAUAUCUCCUUUUUUCCGUGGCCUCCUUGAUUUUUAUCACAUCAACCUGACUCAUUUGAACCCUAAUUCCAUUCUCCAAAUCUCUAUUUUCGUUCACCUUUGCGAAGCUUAUCUCGGCGUGCUGCCGCAUUUUGGUUUAUGGAAGUAUCUGUAUCACUGCCGUCCUGGGAUGGCCGGGGGGCAACAUCAGUUGGUCGGAGGUGCCAGUUUGGAGAUGCGCCGUGGGCGGAAGACCGAGUAUCUCGAGAUACCCCUCAAAGACAGCAUUAAAGGUUGGCGUCUGGAGUGGUUUAUAAUUGAUAAUUAUGGAAAUUCUCUCCCUUCCCGUUCAGGAAGACAGCCAGACGUUCGUACUCCGAGUUGGACUGAGUCUCCCACGGAUCAAGAAGUGGCCGAGGCAGGCGUGUUGCUUACUGAAGUCGGAUUACUGAAAGAGAGAGGUCUGACUGCCGAAGCUGUGGUCACAGAUUUUGUUUUCAAAAACAUUCAGCCGCUGAAAGACAGGGCCUAUCCGGCAUAUCUUUAUCGAGGGCUGGCCGACUCAACCCGAGUUACCAAUAGGAGAAUUCCUUCUGUUGAUUUGGUAAGCCGACUCGAGAUGAUCCUCAGGGGUAAAGUUUCAAACGUUGGUGCUCCAGUGGCAUACUCGGCUUGGAACCUACCUUCUCCCAAAGCUUUCACCCUUUUUGUGUCCAAUCCGCCCGUGACUGAUAGCAAUUUGGGUCUUAGAGUGCGACCCUCUGCUGAAGAGGUCCGUUCUUUAGUUGCUUCGCUCGGGGAGAUACCUGAUGAUGAACGGCAGAUUUAUUUUGAAGUGCCCCUGAACCCUAGUGAUGCAGACAUAAAUGACAUGCUCGAUCUGCUAGCUGAGGAUUCAUCUGAUGCUGCUCCUGAUGGUACAUUGGCAGUGGUGCCCCUUCCAGAGGUUGAUGCGACCUUGGAUGUCCCGAAACCUGUCAGUACUCGCCCGAGGCGCCCUAGCCGAACCAGUCAGCCCGAGCCUUCUGCUGAUGAGCAGAAGAAGAAGAGAAGACGCCUCCGGCGAGUAUCCAGCUUUGACGAGGAUGCCAGUACCUUAGCUCCUACUGCUGAAGAAAUGACUGCAACUGGCCUUGCUGACAUUGAUCCCAAUGGGUGUGCUCCGCCUGCUGCUGACCCCGCUGAGGAUGCUGUUCGUGCUGUUACUGUGGAAGAUGAGGAGGAAGAAAAUGACACUCCAUUAACUCGGAAAAACAGUCGGCAGCUCGUUGCUAGCGGUGGAAGUAGUGGAGUCCCUUCUCCUGCUUUGUCUGCCCUUAUUGGUCUGCAAGAGCUGUCUAUGGCCAAUUUUGAUCAAGCUCUAGAGGAUAUGGUCCCAGAAGAGUUGUUAUCAGAGCCUGUGGAUGUUGAUGCAACAGAAACUUGUGCUGCCGUGCCAGAUGCUGGGCUGAGGUCAUCUCGUGCCUCGUCAACCUUAGAGCAUGAUCUCGAGGGUCGGGAUGCUGACUUGGACCGUCCUGAUCCCAUGGAAGUAGCUGAAGGCCCGUCAACCUUAGAGGUGGUCACGGCAGAGAGCUUGGAUCCCUUGAAUAGUGCUGACACGUGCCCAGCCCCCGAGGAUGUCGCCGGGGAGGACUCAGCUCGGGUGAGGAGUGUAGGCCACUGCCCAGCCCCCGAGGGUGUUGCCGGGGAUGAUCCGGCUCAAGUGGGCAGUGCCAACUUUGACCCAGCCCCGAGGGUGUCCGAGCGAGGUCUCCUUCCUGCACUUCCAUGGAUGUUCAUGCAGGUUCACCUCCACACUCUGGCGGCAUGGUGGUGGCCCAAACUCCGGAUCAGGGGGUCGCUUUAGAGGGCAGCAUCCCCACUGGUCUGGCGUUAGGCUCUGUUGAAUGUACUGAGCUCGUUCCUGCUGGUCUGCUGCAAGCUGCUUCGGGUGGUGGUCUGGCACCUGGUCAUCAGCUGAUUUCUCCUGACUUGGGGAUCCCUUCGCUCUUUUCCAACCUCCAGGUGCUGUGCUGUGCUUUAGUUUGAUCUUUAUGUUGCAUGAAUUGUUGCCAUUAUGUUCAUCCGCUCUUCUCAUCAGGCUUUAUUGACUGGAAUGGUCGGCCAGCUGAAGUCGCAGGGUGCUUCCAUCCCGGAGGUGGCUUCAUCUCUUGAGCGUUGGAAUCCGGUGUUGCUUCGGGGUCGUGUAUCCGAGUUGGAGGCAACUAAUGCUGGUUAGUGUCUUUCCUUCUUUUUCUUUGUUCUUGCUCGUGGAUUGUUUUACCUUCUGACCUCAUUUCGUUUGAAUACCUCUUGAUAGGGAUGACUCGGCGGAUUACAGUUCUUGAAGAAAAACAUUCCCAAGAUCAAGCUGAGAUGGCUCGACGGUGCGCUGACUUCGAGGAGAAGUAUUCUCAGAGCCAGAUUGAAUUGAGUCAGGUCUCCGCGGCUUUGGAUCAUGCCAACGCUCUGAGUUCUUCUCUUCAUGCUCAGCUUGACUCUGAGAAGGUAGCUUACGAACCCGUGCUUCGCCUUAUCAUGCUCUUGGAUUCUGGAUGAGUUGAUUUUUGCUUGUAGGAAGAAAAACGCAUCUUUGCUGCUUCUCGCGACAACCUGGACAGAUUGUACCGAGAUUCCAGCAACUCGCUGACCAUCUUGGAGAGGAGCCACCGUUUUACGAUGGAGGAGCUGGACAAUCAGCGCCGUCAGCUGCAAGAAUCCUCGGACGAAGUGACCCGCCUUACACAGUUGCUAUCAGCAAAGGAUGCCACCAUCAAGGGACUCCGAGCUUCUAAGAAAUCCAUUGCUCAGGAGUUAGAAACUGCUCAGUAGGCUGUUAAAGUUGCCGAAGAAGCUGCUGUCACUUUCAAAGCUCAGCGUGAUAAAGCCCUGGACAAAGCUAUUCGGGCGGGACGAAUCUUGAUGAGAAGACCCGGCGUGGUUGUCCCUGAAGAUAUAAGAGCCGAUGUGAAUGCUGCCCCUGAUUCCUCGAAUCGCCCUUCUUCGUCAGUCGUUCCUGAGAAAGACAUUGGAAAAUAAAGAAACAGUUCGCGUGCUCUGAGCGCGCAGUUAGCAUGAUCAAGUACUUGUUAGAGGUUAUCGGCUUAUCAUUCGAAUGACAUCAUCACUUUCUUAUUGUAUCCGAAUUGCGAAUUUGUGGUAACGCUGCAUGAUGAUUAUGAAGUUUGUUUGUGGGAUAUGGAAAUCAUCCCCUGAACUGCAUAAGCGCGAGUAUGCUAUACCGGCUUAAGCCGUCAAUGACUUUAGCCGGUAACUCCGUUAGUAGGGUAUAGUGGCCACCCUAGGUUAAGUAAGCGUGAGCAUGUUGCACCGCCUUAAGUCGUUGCCGACUUAAGUUGAUUGCUCCGUUUGUAGGGCAUGGUGGUCACCCCGAGUUAAGUAAGCGUGAGCAUGUUGCACCGCCUUAAGUCGUUGCCGACUUAAGUCGAUUGCUCCGUUUGUAGGGCAUAGUGGUCACCCCGAGUUAAGUAAGCGUGAGCAUGUUGCACCGCCUUAAGUCGUUGCCGACUUAAGUCGAUUGCUCCGUUUGUAGGGCAUAGUGGUCACCCCGAGUUAAGUAAGCGUGAGCAUGUUGCACCGCCUUAAGUCGUUGCCGACUUAAGUCGAUUGCUCCGUUUGUAGGGCAUAGUGGUCACCCCGAGUUAAGUAAGCGUAAGCAUGUUGCACCGCCUUAAGUCGUUGCCGACUUAAGUCGAUUGCUCCGUUUGUAGGGCAUAGUGGUCACCCCGAGUUAAGUAAGCGUGAGCAUGUUGCACCGCCUUAAGUCGUUGCCGACUUAAGUCGAUUGCUCCGUUUGUAGGGCAUAGUGGUCACCCCGAGUUAAGUAAGCGUGAGCAUGUUGCACUGCCUUAAGUCGUUGCCGACUUAAGUCGAUUGCUCCGUUUGUAGGGCAUAGUGGUCACCCCGAGUUAAGUAAGAAUGCAAGUCAAUCGUAAACGAGCCAAGUAUCUUUGAAAUCUCUCUUUAUUGAUGACGUAUUUCCAUUAUACAGAAUACAUGGUCGCCCCGGCUGUUUUGAGAUACAGCUAGGGGUAAAAUUUUCGGAGGUGCUCUAUGUUCCAGGAGUUCCCCACUUCUGUGCCAUCCAUCUGAGUGAGGCGAUACGAUCCGGGCCGAGUGACCUCUGCUAUUAUGAAUGGCCCUUCCCAUAAGGGUGAUAACUUGUGCCGUCCUUCCCCCGUUAGAAUUCGGCGGAGGACGAGGUCUCCUAUCGAAAAGAAACGUUGCCGCACAGCUUUGUCGUGGUAGCGCCUUAGAGUCUGCUGGUAUCGUGCUGAUUGGAUUACUGCAUUCAGUCGUUCUUCUUCGAGUACAUCAAUAUCCUCCAGCCUGGUGGCUUCGGCUUCUGCUAUGCUUUCGAAGAUCAAUCUUGGCGCCCCAAACUUGAGAUCAGCAGGUAGCACUGCCUCCGACCCAUAGACCAUGAAGAAAGGAGUAUUUCCAUGCAGGGCCCGGCUAGGUUGGGUUCUCAAACUCCAAACAACAUAAGGCAAUUCUCUUAUCCAUUUUCCUGCGAAUUUUUCGUUUUUAUCAAAGACCCUUUUUCUAAGUGCCUCCAAUAUCAUUCCGUUGGCUCGCUCAACCUGCCCGUUGGCUCUCGGAUGGGCUACAAAUGCAUACUUGAUCUGAAUGCUUUUUUCCUCGCAGAAGUCAAAGAAUUCUGAACUGGUGAAGUUGGAUCCCAAGUCAGUGAUGAUACUGUUUGGUAUCCCAAAUCUGAAUAUUAUGCUUUGUAUGAAUUCCACGGCUUUAGCAGAGGUUAAAGAGGCAAUGGGCUGGAACUCUAUCCAUUUAGUGAAUUUGUCAAUUGCCACCAAUACAUGGGUGUAUCCUCCUUGAGCUUUCUUGAAAGGUCCAAUCAUAUCCAAUCCCCAGCAUGCGAAAGGCCAAGUUACUGGUAUGGUCUGUAGCUGCUGUGCUGGCAUGUGCUGUUGCUUUGACAGGUAUUGGCAAGCUUCGCAUCUCUGAACUAACUCGGCUGCAUCGUUCUUCGCCGUCGGCCAAUAGAAUCCUGACCUGAAAACCUUCCCGACUAAUGUUCUGGAUGCUGCGUGUACUCCACACUGCCCUGCAUGGACUUCCUCCAGAAGUUGCUGCCCGGUGGACGGGAGAACGCACUUCAUGAGGACGCCUGACGCGGCCCUCCUGUAUAAUACCUUCCCGAUGAGUGUAUAGUGAGCUGAUUGUCUGGCAAUGCGCUCUGCCGAGUUCUUGUCAUCUGGUUCUUCUUCAUUCUUUAUAUACUUAAUAAUCGGUUGCCUCUUGUCAUCAGAGUCUGACUCGGGUUGAUCUAUGAUGUUGCAUUCUUCUAUUUGAUCCGUCGAGACGCUCGGCUGGAGAAUUUCUUGCACGAAGACCCCGGGCGGGACCUGAGUCCGACCGGAUCCGAGCUUGGACAGUACAUCGGCCGCCGUGUUCCGAUCUCUUUCUAUAUGAUGAAACUCCAGACCUUCGAAUUUAUCUUCUAGCUUUCGGACGGCGGCGCAGUAUCUUCCCAUUGAAUCACUUGAACAAUCCCAUUCCUUGUUUAUCUGACUGAUGACUACCAGAGAAUCUCCAUACACCAUCAGUCUCUUGACACCCAGUGAUAUGGCGAUGUUUAAUCCGUGUAUCAAAGCUUCAUACUCGGCUGCAUUGUUAGAGGUCGGGAAUAGCAACUGGAGAGCAUACUUGAGGUGCUCGCCUCCAGGUGCAGUGAAGAGAAUCCCUGCUCCUGCUCCCUGCAGCUUCAGCGAGCCAUCAAAAUACAUUCGCCAUACUUCUGCCGUUUCUGGAUUGUCUGGAACUUGCUGUUCUGUCCACUCUGAUACGAAAUCGACCAGUGCUUGAGUUUUGAUGGCAGUGCGAGGUCGGAACUCGAUAUCAUGGGAUCCCAACUCGCAAGCCCACUUGGCUAUUCGGCCAAUGGCUUCCUUGUUGUGAAGAAUAUCCCCUAUUGGAAAACCAGUGACUACUAUGACUUUGUGGUCGUCAAAGUAGUGGCGCAGCUUGCGGGCAGUUAGAAGUACUGCAUAUAAUAGCUUCUGAACUUGAGGAUACUUUUUCUUCGAUGGACCUAGAACCUCACUGAUGAAGUAGACAGGAUGUUGUACCGGAUAGGCAUGCCCUUCUUCCACUCGCUCGACUACCAACGCAGUGCUUACCACGUGAGUCGUGCAAGAGAUAUAUAGUAGCAAAUCUUCAGCUGGUUGAAUCGGCGUAGCUCGCCGGGGCGGCUUUAGUACUGGUGGUGUUGUCAGGAAUUUCUUCAGUGCAUCUAGAGCUUCUUGUGCUUCUGACGUCCAUUGAAACUUAUCCACCUUCUUGAGCAGUUUGUAAAAUGGCAGACCUUUUUCUCCCAGCCUGGAUAUGAAUCUGCUCAGGGCUGCCAUACAUCCAGUGAGUCGCUGAACCUUCUUUUGCGACCGAGGGGCUUCCAUCUUCAUGAUAGCUUCAAUCUUAUCUGGAUUAGCUUCAAUUCCCCGGUGGCUGACAAUAAAUCCGAGUAACUUUCCUGCUGGUACCCCGAAGACACAUUUCUCAGGAUUGAGCUUCCAUCUAUAUCUUCUCAGGCUGUUGAAAACCAGCUGUAAGUCUUCGAUGAAGUUUUCCGGAUUCUCCGUUUUAAUCACCACGUCGUCUACGUAAGCCUCCACACGCUUGCCCCAGUGAUCGGCUAAGCAUGUUUGAAUGGCUCUCUGAUAAGUCGCUCCAGCGUUUUUGAGGCCGAACGGCAUGGAGGUAUAACAGAAAGCACCAAACGGGGUGAUGAACGCCGUUUUUUCCUCGUCUUCUUUUGCCAAACUAAUCUGAUGAUACCCGGAAUAGCAAUCUAAGAAAGACAGCACAGAACAUCCAGCGGUGGAAUCCACCACCUGAUCUAUCCUCGGGAGCCCGAAGGGAUCCUUCGGACAGUGUUUGUUGAGAUCAGUAUAGUCGACGCACAUGCGCCAAUCCACUUUAUUCUUUUUGAGUACAAGAACAGGGUUGGCUAACCACUCGGGGUGUAAUACUUCUCUAAUAAAUCCGGCCGCGACCAAGCGAGCUAACUCGGCACGAAUGGCCUCUCUCUUGUCGGGCGUGAAACGACGCAGCUUUUGCCGGAUCGGCCUCGCCUGAGGAUAGACUUUCAAUUUGUGCUCGGCCAACUCCCUCGGGACUCCCGGCAUAUCCGCAGGUUGCCAUGCGAAUACGUCUCGGUUAUCUUGCAGGAACUGGACGAGCGCGCUUUCCUAUUUGUCAUUCAAACUGGAGCUGAUGAUGGCCGCCUUGCGCUCAUCGGCAAACCCCAGGUUGAUCCGCUUGGUUUCUUCAGUCGGCCGCAUAGAGGUCGCGGCCUGAGCUUCGUUUGCCGGCACGGCGAGGUCUUCCUCAGGCUUAGAGUUCGCCGGUGUAGAAGGAACUGUUGACGGCUUGGUGGUGAGGGCUGCUUGGAUGGCCACUCGGAAACAUUCUGCGGCGCCUUGGAAGUCGGCGCGCACAGUUAUGAUUCCUUGCGGUCCUGGCAUCUUCAGUAUCAUGUAGGUAUAGUGCGGGAUGGCCAUGAAUUUGGCUAGCCCCGGCCUUCCGAUGAUGGCGUUGUAACCGCAGUCGAAGUUCGCCACCUCGAACCUCAGGAACUCGGUUCUGUAGUUAUCCGGAGUCCCGAAGGUGACCGGCAUGUAGAUGUGGCCCAGCGGGUAUUCCCCUUCCGUCGGCACGAUGCCGAAGAAAGGAGUGUCUGACUCGUGGAGCUCUUUGAGGUGAACUCCCAAGCCUUGGAGCGUACGGGGGAAGGUGACGUUGAUGCUGCUCCCCCCGUCCACUAGCACCUUCUUUACCCGGCUCUCUCGGAUCACCGGAUCGACGAGGAGCGGGUAUUUGCCUGGAUGGUCAAAGUUGAGCCAUUGAUCCUCCCGAGUGAAAGUGAUUGGGUGCUCCGACCACCGGUACGGGGCGGGUGGGCCGGUGGUCGCCACCAGUAUCUGGCGGUCGUUGAGCUUUUGUUGUCUUUUGUUCUCCUGCGACCCAUGUCCGCCGAAGAUGACGUUGACCUCCCUGUCAACGCGCGGGAAAGCUCCUCCUCCCCCCUCCUCCGGCUGAUGGGGCUGUCGUGGUUCACCUGGUCCUCCCCUCGGCGGAGGAGGCGGUAGGGGUUGGAAGGGUCGACCAUGUCCGACGGAGUGCUUGAAGUCCCGGCAGUUACGUAGAGUAUGGCGCAUGUCCUUGUGGUACGGGCACUGGGCGUCGAGGAUGUCGUCCAGUGUACGCUCGCCUCCACGGGGUCCUCCUCGGGCGCGAGAGGCGGGUGGUCCGGCGGCGUGUACUUCUUCACGAGGCCUCUUCUCCCAGCGUUUGUCGGGUGGCUGGUUCGCGUCGCGUCGUGGUGCUGUCGGUGUGGGUUUUGCUCCUCCGAUGAGGUCCUGGGCCCGCUCGUCGGCGGUGAUGUAGAGGUCGGCUUCCCGGAACAGCUCCUCGGAGGUAGUCGGUGCCUUUUGUAGUAUGGCUCGGACGAAAGCCGAGUCGUUAGAUCCUCUGUAGAAGUCCUCGAUCACGGCCGCCUCCGUGACCUCGGGGAUGCGGUUUCUCAUGGUCUGGAACCUUUUAAGGUAUGACCGGAGAGUCUCGUCUCCCUGGCGCUUGAUGGAUUUGAGGUCCCAUGGUUGCGCUGGUUUGUCGGAGAGAGACUGGAAGUUGGCGGUGAAGCGUCGACUGAAGUCUCCCCAGUCGUCGAUGCAGUGUCGGGGUAGAUGUCGUAGCCACUGCAGCGCAUCUUGCCCAAGGACGAUGGGCAGAUACGCGGUCAUAACGUCUUCGGAUGCUCCGGCAGCCCGAGCAGCGGUGGUGUAAACGGCUAACAACCCCCUGGAUCCUGCUUAGGUUCAUAUUUGUCGACAUUGGAUACCUUGAAGUUGGGAGGCCAUUGGAUGGCCCUAAGGCGCGGAGUAAGGGCGGAUACUCCGCACGUGUCCUCCUGUCGUCGGGGAUGUCGUCUGUCCCGGGGAGGGGAGUGGCGGUGGUGGUUCCUCGACCAUCCCCGGGGGGUUCCACCAGUUGAAGUUGUUGCCGACUCAGUUCGGGUGGCCUGGCUUUGAGUCGGGAAGCCAUGAUCUCGGUCAUACUCCUCCCGACGGUGAAUUUUGUUCUCAUGCCGCCGUUCGCGCGAAGCAUUGAUAGAGCUUCGCGCGUCUCGGCGACUGUUGAUGGCGUGUCGCAAAUCGUUCGGCGGGUGGGCGAGCGGUAGAAGAUGGUUUGCUGCCUGAGUGAACAGGCGUCGGUAUCCCUCGGCGUCGGGAGUCCGAGGAAGUCCGUCAGCUAUCCGAGCUAGAACGCCUCCGACUUCGCUUGGCGUGUUCAUAGCUCGGGCGAAGUCGGGGUUCAGGUUGCGCCCGAAGAGCGGAUUCUCGCGUCGUUGCCUUGCAUCUUGCUCGGCUUGCUCCUGAGUCCGCCGGCGAUCACGUCGUCGAGAGUUCCUUCGUUCCCUGAAGACGCGUUCUUCCGGAGUUUCUCCUAUCUCUGAGACCUCGUCUCGCGAGACAGGCUGCUCCGGAUCCCGCUCUCCGGCUGCGUGAUGUCGUCGAACGUUCCUGCGUCGGUUCCUUCGUCGGCGGGAUUCUCGCUGAGGCGGUUCUUCUCCAGGUGCGGUCGGUUCAUCGUCAGAGACGGCGGGCGACUCUGCUCUCCCGAUGAAGAGGACGUCGGGGUAGAACGGUACUGCUGUCGCGGCGACUUUCUUUCCGUUCUCCUUUGAGGCCGGAGGAACGGGAAGAACGACCUGCCUCUCCCUGGUCUCCUUCUUUCUCACGACCCGUGUCCAUUCUUUCGUCGGGGAAGUAGACAGCGGAGUCUUCCGGGUCAGCGAGCUUCUAGCUCCAGCCUCCCCGGAGACGAUCUUUUUCCGAAGAGCCGGAGGUAGCGUCUUUCCAGCAUUUUCGGAGUUUGUUGGAGGAGACUUCUGUUCCGGCAGAUCUGCGAGGCGGUGUAGAAUUCCCUCUUCGUCCGCUACGGAUGAGAUUGUCCCGAAGCAGAAUACAGAUCCGGGACGCACGGCGAUCUUGCUGUGGAAGGUGACGGCCAUUGAGCUAGCUUGGAUCGUCGACACACCCCCUACCUGGCGCGCCAGCUAUCGGUGUUUUGGGUCCGACCGCACACCCGGGGUUGCCCAUCAAGGUGUUUUUAGGAGUAGGACGGUGUCAACGACUGUAGCAAAAUGGUUCGUGCCGGUCGCACGAGGGACAAUGGACAAGAUUUGCAGGUUCGGGCCGCUUAGAAGUGCGUAACACCCUACGUCCUGGUGAGUAUAUGAGCGUGGUUACAAGAGGGUUCUCUGGAUAGAGGGCGCAGAGAGUUUAUGUGGGUGGCUAAGUAGAACAGGGUCCAUCCUCCUGAAGGGGUGCCCCCUAGGCCUUAUAUACUCGGCCGUGGAGCAGUACAUGUGAUAUGAUAACAACAAGUAGCUAAAAGAUAGUGAACCUCUUGAGUUUAUCCCUACGUAACCCUCGCCGACUUAUCCUCGCAUGGCUCUGUUGCAUGGGGGCUUCAGCGCGGGAAAGUCGGGUCUCUGUUGCGAUUCAUUCGUUCGACGUUGUGGGCCGUCUGGGUUUGCACUAAUCAGUCUCACGUCUUCUUUUCUUUGUUGGUUGUCUUUCCCUAGGCCCACGAAAGAAUGACCUUACAAAUUAUUGGGCCCUUGGGCCUUUCGUGAGGCCUUUUACUUCUUUAGUGGACCCAGGGGAUAUCUAUCCCCCACACAUGGUCCAAAGUUCGGCCUGGAUCGGAGCUGUUGGCAGUUGGGUGUCGGCCCAUUCAGCCAGGAAGUCAGCCAAGACUUGGGACUUUAUGGCCUUCUGAGGGGCGAAUGAGAGUGUUUCGCCCAUGAGUUCCACUGCCCACUUUGCUAUCCUACCCGAGGCCUCACGGCACUGGAUGAUCUCCCCCAGGGGGAAGGAUGACACCAUAGUCACCGGAUGAGACUCGAAGUAGUGUCGCAACAUUCACCGUGUCAGAAUUACUGCAUAUAGUAGCUUCUGAAUUUGUGGGUAGCAGAUCUUGGUCUCGGAUAGCACCUCGCUGAUGAAGUAGAUUGGCCUCUGGAUGAGCAGUGCAUGCCCUUCCUCUCGUCUCUCGACUACGAUCGUGGCACUGACCACCUGAGUGGUUGCGGCUACGUAGAUCAAGAGGGCUUCUCCCGCGGCGGGGGGCACCAAGAUGAGCGCAUUGGUAAGGAGUGCCUUAAGGUUUCUGAGGGCUUCCUCGGCCACAGGGGUCCAAGUGAAGCGCUCGGACUUCCUUAAAAGGCGGUACAAGGGCAAGCCUUUCUCGCCGAGGCGCGAGAUGAAGUGGCUCAGAGCCGCAAGGCAUCCCAUGACCCUUUGUACUCCAUUCAAAUCUUUGAUCGGUCCCAUGUUGGUGAUGGCCGCGAUUUUCUCCGGGUUGGCUUCGAUGCCUCGCUCGGAGACGACGAACCCCAGGAGCAUGCCUCGGGGGACUCUGAAGACACACUUCUCGGGAUUGAGUUUUACGCCUUUCGCUCUCAGACAUUUGAACAUCGUCUCAAGGUCAGAGAGGAGAUCGGAGGCUUUCUUCGUCUUGACAACGAUGUCAUCGACGUAAGCCUCAACCGUUUGGCCGAUGUGUUCUCCGAACACGUGGUUCAUGCACCUUUGGUAUGUUGCACCUGCAUUCCUCAAGCCAAAUGGCAUAGUAGUAUAACAAUACAUACCAAAAGGUGUGAUGAAAGAAGUCGCGAGCUGGUCGGACUCUUUCAUCUUGAUUUGGUGAUAACCUGAAUAGGCGUCGAGGAAUUACAGGGCUUCGCACCCAGCGGUGGAGUCCACAAUUUGGUCGAUGCGAGGCAGAGGGUAGGGAACCUUCGGACAUGCUUUGUUCAACCCGGUGUAGUCGAUGCACAUCCUCCACUUCCCACCAUUAUUUUUCACAAGCACAGGGUUAGCUAACCAUUCAGGAUGGAAUACCUCUUUGAUGAACCCUGCAGCAAUAGCUUGUGGACCUCCUCGCCUAUGGCCCUGCGCUUUUCUUCGUCGAAACGGCACAGAUGCUGCUUCACGGGUCGGGCUCCGGCUUGGAUGUCCAGUGAGUGCUCGGUGACAUCCCUCGGUAUGCCGGGCAUGUCCGAGGGACUCCACGCAAAAACUUCGGCGUUUGCGUGGAGAAAGUCGAUGAGCAUUGCUUCCUAUUUGGGGUUGAGCUCGGAGCCGAUCCUGACAUGCUUGCCAUCAUCGUUGCUGGGGUCGAGAGGAACGGAUUUAACCGCCUCAGCUGGCUCGAAGUUGCCGGCGUGUCGCUUCGCAUCUGGCCCCUCCUUGGAGAGGCACUCCGGGUCGGCGAUGAGGGCCUCGGACUCGGCGAGGGCCUCAGCGUACUCCACGCACUCCAUAUCGCAUUCGUACGCGUGUCGAUACGUGGAUCCGACGGUGAUGACCCCGUUGGGGCCCGACAUCUUGAGCUUGAGAUACGUGUAGUUGGGGACGACCAUGAACUUGGCGUAGCAUGGCCUUCCAGCACCGCGUGGUAGGUCCCUCGGAACCCGACCACCUCGAACGUGAGGGUUUCUCUUCGGAAGUUGGAAGGAGUCCCGAAGCAGAUGGGCAAAUCGACCUGUCCAAGGGGUAGGACACGCUUUCCGGGGACGAUCCCGUGAAAGGGCGCCGCGCUGGCCCGGAUCGUGGACAGAUCGAUUCCCAAGAGUCCUAGGGUCUCGGCGUAGAUGAUGUUGAGGCUGCUGCCUCCGUCCAUGAGGACCUUAGUGAGCUUAGCAUUGCCGAUGACAGGAUCGACAACCGCGGGUACCUUUCCUGGGCUCGGCACGCGGUUGGGGUGGUCGCCUUGGUCGAAGGUGUUGGGCUUGUCGAACUAGUCUAGGUAGACUGGCGCCGCCACCUUCACCGAGCAGACCUCUCGGCGCUCCUGCUUGCGGCGCCGAGCCUAGGCGUUCGCCACUUGCCCACCAUAGAUCAUGAAACAGCCGUGGAUCUCCGGGAACUCCUCUGCCUUGUCGCCCUCUUUCUUGUUGUUGUCUUGGCCAUUGCCAUCUUCCGGCGGGGGCCCAGCCUUAUGGAAGUAGCGCCGAAGCAUGACGCAUUCCUCAAGGGUGUGCUUGACGGGACCUUGGUGAUAGGGGCACGACUCCUUGAGCAUCUUGUCGAACAGGUUGGCCCCUCCGGGAGGCUUUCAAGGGUUCCUGUGCUCGGCAGCAGCGACAAGAUCAGCGUCAGCGGCGUCGCGCUUUGCUUGCAACUUCUUCUUGGCCUUCUUCUUCGUGCCCCGCUGGGCGGACGCCUCGGGGAUGUCUUCUAGCUGCCUCUCCUGAGGCUGCUUGUCCUUCCGGAAGAAUGCUUCGACCGCCUCCUAACCAGAGGCGAACUUGGUGGCGAUGUCCAUCAAUUCACUCGCCUUGGUGGGAGUCUUGCGCCCAGUUUGCUCACUAGAUCUCGGCAAAGUGGUGCCGGCGAGGAACGCCCCGAUAACAUCCGAGUCGGUGAUGUUGGGCAGCUCGGUGCGCUGCUUCGAAAACCGCCGGAUGUACUCUCGGAGGGACUCCCCUGGCUGCUGGCGGCAGCUUCGGAGAUCCCAGGAGUUCCUAGGGCGCACGUACGUGCCUUGGAAGUUUCCAGCGAAAGCCUUGACCAGGUCGUCCCAGUUGGAGAUCUGCGCGGGAGGCAGAUGCUCCAGCCAGGCCCGGGCGGCGUCGGAGAGGAACAGGGGGAGGUUGCGGAUGAUGAGGUUGUCGUCGUCCGUCCCUCCCAUCUGGCAGGCCAGCCGGUAGUCUGCAAGCCACAGCUCCGGCCUCAUCUCCCUCGAGUACUUGGUGAUAGUAGUGGGGGCUCAGAACCGGGCUGGAAAUGGUGCCCGUCGUAUGGCCUGGCUAAAAACUUGCGGACCUGGUGGCUUGGACGAUGGACUCCGUUCCUCCUCGCUGUCGUAGCAUCCUCCGCGCCUGGGGUGGUAGCCUCGGCGCACCUUCUCGUCGAGGCGGGCUCGACGGUCGCGACGGUGUUGCUCGUUGCCGAGGCGAUCCGGGGCCGCAGGCGUCCCGUCCCGCGUGCGCUCGGCGUGGGCCGAGGCCUCUCGUAUGCGUCGGGAGGACGUUGCGUGAUGCUCCGAGGGGCACCCUCGCCUUCGGGAAGCGGAGCUUUCGGCUUGUCGGACCACGACAUGCUCCAGGAGAUUCUUGAGUUUGCCCUGGAUACGCCGUCCCUCGGUGGUGGAUGGCUCCGGCAUCGUUCGGAGCAGCAUCGCUGCUGCAGCCAGGUUCUGGCCGGUCUCGCUGACGACCGGGGGCAGCGCUGCUCUGGCAUUGUCAACGAUACAGCGCUGGACGUCCUGGGUCCGACACACUUCUCCGACUAGUGCUUGGCCUGUCCACUCCUGCUCUAUGUUUUGCCGGAGCUGCACAAGUCGCCCUGCCUCCUCGUCGAGCUUGGCCUACAUCUCGCGGAUUUGCUCGAGCUGUAUGUCCUGACCCCCCGUAGGGACUGGGACCACAGCUAGCUCCCGCGGGAUGUCAACGCGAGACGCAGGCGCAGGGGGGUCAUUCUCCGGCAUACUGAGGUGGUUGCCUUCGUUGAGAUCCCCCAGAUCGACGUGGAAACAUUCGCGACUUGGGCCAUAACCCUCGUCGUCAAGGCUAUGGCUAUCAUCAGAGCAACCGGAGAGGUAGUAGUCACAUGCGGUCAUGAAGUCUCACAUGGCACUGGGAUCACGGAGCCUGGAGAAGUCCCAACCGGAGUUGGGACCAUUGUUUUCCUCGGAACCCGGGGGCCCGUAGGUUGAGACGGCCGCCAGUUGGUCCCAGGUUGACUACAUAUGGUACACCGGAGGGUUAGGAUAUGCCCUAACGAGAGCGCUCACCGAAGCGGAGUCGCUUGGUGGAUCAAAGCUGAAUCGAAAGGGCACGGGAUGGAAAACAGACGGUACCUCUUGGUCGAUGGACGGUGGUGAGGUCGCGUCGGGGACGGAGCGCACCGUCAUCUCAGGUACGAGGCUAACGCCCAGCAAGUCCUUCGCGAGGGUGCUGGCAUCGUCAGUCCGCUUGUCAUUGGCGCGUUGCGAGGAAGCGACACCCGUCGUUGUCUCAGGUGCGAGGACGACGCCCGGCGUGUCCCCCGCUGGGGUGCAGGUAUCGUCGACUCGCUCUGGAGCGACAAUCGACGAGGUGCUGCCUCUUGCCUGGCCACGGUUGCCCCGUCUCCUCCUCCUGCAGCGAGGAGGGUGGCGAGGCAAACCCGAAUGCUCCUCUUCCGCCACGGGGGGAAGACGCCGUCGAGUUCGCGGCCGCCGGGCGAGCCGACGACCGUCAUUGUUGUCGUGUCGCGAGGGGAGGAGUACCAUGUCGUAGCUGCCGUCGAGGGACAUGAACUCGAGACUCCCAAAGCGAAGCACCGUCCUGGGCUGAAGAGGUUGGUGAAGACUCCCCAUCUGGAACUCAACGGGAAAGAGUUCGUUAACACGCAGCAGGCCCCUACCUGGCGCGCCAACUGUCGGCGUUUCGGACCUAGGGGGUCCCUGGACCGACUAGUAAAUUUGUCGCUGCGUGCCCCUGCCCAGAUGGGUUGGUGCGAGAUGGAACACAAGGGGGGAAUGAGACUUGUAUUAUCCUGCACCAGGGUGCUUGUAGUAGGGGAUACAAGCGCGUCGCGAGGGAGAGAGAGAGGGAGCCUAUUCGUUAGCUCGUCCCUCCGCGCGAACCCUCCUCCAGGAAGGCCCUGGACCUCCCUUUUAUAGAUGCAAGGAGAGGGUCCAGAUGUACAAUGGGGGGUGUAGCUAGGUGCUAACGUGUCCGGCAGAGAGGUGCCUGAGCCCUGUGUACAUGCCAACGUGGCUGUCGGGGGAGAGCCUGAGCCCUGUAUGCGUGAUAAUGUGGCCGUUGGGGGAGAGCCUGAGCCCUGUAUGUGUGAUAACGUGGCCGUCGAAGAAAUGCCUGAGCCCUGUAUGAAGCAUAGCUGGCGGUGCGGCUGGGACCCUGCUGGUGUCUCCUUGCUGUCGUAAGGGGCUGAGAACCACCGACAUCAUGGUCGCACGCGGGGCACCAUCAUUACCCGUUGCCGGGGUAAGCUAUAUGGGACGUCGGUCUUGUCCCUUGUAGCCCGAGCUAGCUAGGAGCAGGGUAAUGAUGUUUCCCCUGUGGCGCGGUCGGUCCGAGCCCAAGUUCGGGCGAGGCGGAGACUUCUCCUGAGGCCGAGGCUGGGGUCGGGCGAGGACGCGAUUCCUCCCAAGGUCAAGGCAGAGUCCGAGUCUUGGGGUCGGGCGAGGCAGAGAUCUCCUCCCGAGGCCGGGGCCUGAGGUCGGGCGAGGCGGAGCUUCCUGUUGCGCCUGAGGCUGGUCUCGGCUGUUGUCAACCCCUCUCGCGUGGUUGGCACAGCAGUCGGAGCGGGGCGAACGACGCUGUUUUCCUGUCAAGUCUGUCAGUAAAGGGGGCGAAGUGACUGCGGUCACUUCGGCCCUGCCGACUGAGGCGCGUGUGUCAGGAUACGGAGUCAGGUGAUCCUCGCAUUGAAUGCGCCUGCGAAGCUGUCGGAUGGCGAGGCGGUUUGGCCAAGGUUGCUUCACAGCGAAGCCUGCCCGAGCCGGGCUUCGGGAGAGCCGAGGGUGUGCUCACUGCCUGAGGAGGCCCUCGGGCGAGGCGUGAAGUCAUCCGGGACUACUGUUCCCGCCCGAGGCUGGGUUCGGGCGAGAUCGCGCCAUUUGGGUAGACGAAGCCUUGACUUGAACCGUGCCCAUCAGUCCUUAUGGUUUGUCCUGAUGGUGUCUACCAGCCGUUUUUAGGAGUGUUGGGGGUACCCCUAAUUAUGGUACCCGACACAUUUAUAAGAGUAUGAUUCAAUCUUAUUUUCCAGUAUUAUCUAACAUGUUUGUCCAUUAGGAUAGAUCUGAUCAAAUUAGAUGGGAUUAGAAUUAAAUUGGUGUAAUCAGAUAAGAUCUACUUAAUUUAUUUUGGAAUAGAUCAUAUUUGUUACACUAUAAAGAGAUAAGCAAAGUGGUGGGGAUAAGUAUGCUUAUUUGAACAAUAUGAAUCUCUAAGAAUAGGAUAGAAUCUUUUGAGAUUAGUUAGAUCUUUUAGGAUAGGAUAGAAUCCUUUCAAGGAGAGAUGAGUCUAUUAAGGUAAGAGAGUAUCUUUUAAGAUAAGAGAAACUAUUAAGAUAAGAAAGAAUCUUUCAAGAUAAGAUUGAUCUAUUAAAUUAGAUACACUUUAAUGGAGAUUAAUCUAGUCUCAUGAAUUUUAUUUAUUAAAGAUUAUGCCUAUACGUAUAUGUAGAUUUAAUUGUGGGCGUUACUCCACAACUAAUCACACUCAAUCAAAGAUCCAAAUCAUGCAUGUAUCAUAAGAACAAACACUCAAGCGUAUAGAUACCCAUAAAAAUAGUUUUGUUUUUGUUCCUAAGAGUAGGUCUCCUAUUCCUAAAGGUCACUUUAGGCACGUGAUUUCAAAGUGUGAAAUCCACAUUUGUCUUUAGAAAGAAAAGGUAAGAACAAUCAGAGUAAAGCAGAAAUAGAUGAGAAAAGAUUAAGAUAAGUUUAGAAAAGAAUCAGAGUAAGGUAAGUAGGUAAGGGUUUGUCCAUUUCUAUCUAGGUUUUGUCCUACAGUCAACAUUUCCUCUGAUACCACUUCUGUAACACCCGGUUUCUAAGGGACAAAGCUGGGUGCAUCUCAUACAUGCGCCAAAGAAGACAACACAUAUAAUAAUAGAGUGUAUAGAGAUAAAUGUCACAAUAAUCAGAGUACUUAUUACAUAGCGGAAGACUUAAAAAAAUAAAAGAUAAAUAUAGCAAGAUCUAAAAUCCAUCCUUGGUGCCAGAAAGUCAACUAGGAGACGCAACCUAGAUCGAAUCGAACUCCUCGAUGCGUGGCUCCACUUGAACCACCUGUUCUUCUCCUGUGGGGGAGGGUGUGAGACAGCAAGGGUGAGCUCACACAUGUUCAUCGCUCAACAAGUUGUGGGGAAUAAUGUGGCAUGAACUCACCAAAGGUGGGAAUUCAUGUGAAGUGUAAGGCUGAUCAACAAAAUAAAGGUUGAAGCUGAGCAUUGCUUUUAUAAGUUGGUCAAAAUUUUAUUAGCAAUUACUAAGUAUAAGUAGAUACCAAACCAUAAUAAUAAUAGAACAAAAUUAAUAAAUAAUCCCAUGCAAAUGCAAAUGACAAUUUGAGUUUAAGUUCCAUAAAUUAAUCAUGUGAGGGUCCGAGCCGCUCAUGACUGUGAGCACGGCUAGUAUACCAGUUUUACACUCUGCAGAGGUUGCACAUCUUUACCCACAAGCCAUGUUACCCAUCUGCCAAGGGGUCAUGAAUCCCAUACACCUCUACCAAGGAAGUGAGGCAGGGUAACACUACGAGGCCUUUACAAAGUUCCACUAGCUUCAGAAAACCCGCUACAGUUUAUAGGAAGCUCCAGUGCAGGAAUCCCUCGCCUGACCGCCAUCGCAGCAAAAUCAACCCAAGUACCUUCCUACACUGACCACUCCCCUACUGCCCUUGCCCCUUUUGGGUAAGGUAGUCAUCCACUAGCUUUCCUAGUUAAUCAGCCAAGGGCGUCCCAUUAAACCCUUGUGGUAGCACUGUUUCCCCGGGUGGUCGCUCCAUGUUCCAAUUAACAUAAUGAUCUUAUCAUGAAUAUAAAUAACAUAACAGAAUAAUUGGAACAUGGAUAUAAUAAAAUAUUAAUCCCAAAAUCAUAUAGAGCAAUAGCAUAACGACCCAAGUGGUUCAGGGAUAAACAAGGUAAAAAGGAUAACCAAUCUAGGGUGACCUAUUGGGUCCCAUCAAAAGUAAACCUAUGCAUUGAAUAGUGAUAAUAAAGAAUAUUAUUGGGUAACUAAAGUGGAUCAAGGGCACAACUUACCUGGCACUUGAGAUUUCAGUUACUAGGGUGAUUCUUCAGAUCCUCGUGACUGCACUGCUAGUCGUAGCAAUACAAACAAACAUGGUAUAGAUAAAAUCAAUAUCACACCAAACAUGAGAACAAAUUAAAUAAUAAUGAUCUACGCGAAGCUACAAGAUCGUGGGAACGAGAACCACUAAAAUCGGAGUUACGAUUAAGGAGUUAUGAUCUAUAAAAGCUCUACGUAAUUUAAAUAUUAAACUUAUAUUAUAAAUUGGUUAGUAUAGUGUUGGGGACUUGUUCUCAAAUGCUAUGAAUUAAGAACAAGGCAACAUAGAAAAUAUUAAAUGUCAUAGUUCUUUGUCCUUCGAAGCAUUAUUUCCCUUGGGAUAUAAUGGAUUCCAGACGAAGGUUAUGAAGGUUAUACCUUCAUAAACACAACAAAUAAUGAGAAAGGGUAAAAAAUAUGUAAAAUAAUUUAAACACAUGAUUAUUAUUAUUAACUCAUUUCUAUUUCAUUAUUGUAGAAAUGAUAACAAGUUACAAAUGUACCUUCGGCUUGAAGGAAAGCAAAAAUACCAGCGUGAAGCAAAAACAAAUGCCCAAAGCGUGAUUACAGGAGAGCGCCUGAACAGUACAUGGGUACUAUUCACCUAUUUAUAGGCACAGUUCAUAGCUUGUAUAUAAUUACAUUUAUACCCUUUACACUGAACUACAAUAAUGACACAGAAUAUCAUGGGUCUUUAAGUCAUUUCAUCUUUAAGUCGGUUCACCCCUUCGUCUUGAGACAUGUCACUGUGCCGAAGCUUUAUAGUCGAUAGCUUCGGCGCUGCUUUGGAGAGGAUCUGCCGAAGGUGUUCAUUUCUUUAGGAUCUUCGGCUACGAAGCAUACCCCCAAUAGUAGCCCCUUCGCGGCGCUAGAUCGUUUUUUGUAACGAGCUUGAUCCGUGAAAAAUCUUCUAAGCUUCGGGAUGCCGAAGAUCCAAAAAACACCUUCCCUGAGCUCGUUGGCGAGAAACGAUUAAAAUAAUCGUCGGACGCGCGACCCAUCUUGCACCAAUUACACGCUCGCCAGCAAUUCACCUUCUCGAGCUAUGUGGCCCACCGUUCAGUGAGUGCGGGUGACUGUUUGUUCGGUGCUGGAGACCUUGCUGAUUCACCUUCCCACCUGCAGCACUAUAUAAACAGACGGGUAGAUGUGAAGUUACCACAUCAUUCAUUGCUAUUGUACUGUUUUGCUGCCAAAUUUUUAGUCAGAGCCGAAGCUUGAUCAUUGCGCUCAUACAAAAUCUGCUUUGGCGCAAGUGGAAGAGCUUCGGAAAAGACAAAAAAAAACCAAUUCAAAAAAUUUCAAGUAAGUCAUAAUCAAAUGGCCAGAGUUCGCUCUACUGCAAGAGUCGAUCGCGAGGGAGACGAAACCGAAGCUGUGGAAACUGUUCCUAUCUCGGAAGCAAUGAAGCGAUCUGGGUUGGUGGCACCAGAAGACGUCCCUGUUGCUGAAGCAGAGCAAGCAGAUAUUGAAGAGACCGAUUCUGAAGAUGAUUAAAACAUCGCAGUGCCGAGCAAGCCUAGCCACCUGGACUUCGGAAAGUCGACCAUCUCCAAAGCUGAUUUUCCUAAGAUGGUGAAGUCGGGCUACUUUAGCGAAGAUAAGAAAGAGCUGAUUCGCUUCUGUGGAGAAGAAACUACUCCGAAGCCACAGAAAGAUGAAAUAGUGAUUUUCAAGAGUUUCCUCAAAGUUGGUUUGAGAUUUCCUUUGAAUAGGAUGAUUGCCGAUGUGCUAAAGAAGUUUGGGAUCCACUUUCAUCAACUAACUCCUAACGCUAUUGUUAGGCUUAGUGUUUAUAUUUGGGCUCUCCGAAGCGAGGGGGUGGAACAGUUUGCCGAAGGUUUCUGCCGGGUGCACGAGCUACAUUACCAAACCAAGGUCAGAAAGGAUGGGUUACAUGAAAAUUUUGGUUGUUACAAUUUUGCCUAUCGGAAAACUACAAAAUUUCCUGUGAUUAGCUACCGAAGCAAGUGGCCGGCAGGCUGGAAAUCGGAAUGGUUCUACGUCAAAGUUGACGAUGACAAGGAGAAGCUGGUCCAGAGUCCGCUUGAACUGAUCUUCGGAGAAACCAGACCCCAAUGCAAUAUGACACCAGAAGGUCCAACCCAAACUGCGUUGGCUGAAUUCAGGAUUAUCGCAGAGCACAUUGGCACUAGAGAUUUAGUGCAAGAAUUUUUGGCUUUCAAAAUAUUUCCAACUAUGAAGGAAUGGGCUAUGCCGAAGCUUGAAAGAGAGAAGAAAGAGGGGGAGCUUGUCCGACUGCCCUACCACUAUAAGUUCAAGAAAUAUUUCAAAGCACCCUGUCAAGAAUGGCUCGAAACAAUCGAAGUAAUGAGCACUGAAAUUCUUGGGAAUUAUUCUAAAAAAGAGGAUCAAUUGAUGACAGCAGCCUUCGGCACCCGGCCGAAACGAAGGCUAAACAGAGUGCUUGAUGCUAUAGGCUUUGAAUAUCCUGAUUAUGAGCGACUUGACAAGGGUGCCGAAGGGCAGAAAAGGAAAAGAGUAGCCGACGCUUUGAUCAAAGACGGCGAAGAUCAAUCAAAAAAGAAGAAAGAAAAGUUUGAAUCGAAAGUGUUAACUUCGAAGAAAAGAAAGGACUCAAUCCCGGAACAAAAAUCAAUUGAUGAAGAAGAGAAGGCUUCUGCGACAUCUUCUUACGCUGAAAUAGAGGAAAUUCUAAAGGUAAUGACUGAAACUUUGCCUGUCAAACUAAGUCCAUUGGGGCUUCAUCUGACGAAGCUUUUUCAUAAUGAAAAGGAGCCCGCAAAGACAAAGGCAUCUAGGCCAAAAAGACAAAGGAUUGUUACCGUGACAGAAGUGAUUGAAACAACACCACCAAGAGCUCCAGCUCUGAAGAUGCCGUCAAUUGAAAUCAUGACAGCUACUGAAGCUGUACCUUCGGAGGCUGCCGCAGAAGAGGCCAGAGCCGAAGAUGCUAACUCCGAAGGUAUUAAUUUAGAGAGCAUAGCCGCUGAUAUAGAUAAAAUGCUGCUAAACAUGGCCGCUGAAGAAACUGCUGCAGCCACCGAAGAGACCACGGCUGCCAAACCCGAGAAAGAAGGAAUAACCGAAGAUACCUCGGAAGAUGAAACUUUUGACUUCCGAAACUUAGUUGGCCAGGAGCUGACUGAAGCUGAAAAAGAGGAAUUAAAAGAGUAUGCUAUAUCUUGUGGAUAUCGGCCGAGGUCGCUUCUCUUCGGUGGUAUUGAUGAUGAAGGGUUAGGCUGCAUACGAGACCAAACCGGUGCGAAAGUUGUCGGUACUUUAUCAAAGAGUAUCGGCUUCCCGAAGCUUGAAGCGGAUAUCAGCCGCUAUCGUCGACAACAUAUUGUCGGCAGUUUAUUCUAUUCUAAUUUCAAGGUAAACAUUUUGUGUCUAACUCUUAUUACUUGUGGUACGAAAAUAUUUUCUAACGAAGGCUAUUUGUCCACAGAGCAUACUUUUGAGCAAGGCAUUAAAAAUGCAACAAGACUUAGAGGAUAAAAGACAAGAAGUUAUAAUUGAAAAUUUAGAUAACAAAAUAAAGGAGCAAUCUGCUGCCAUUGAGAAGAAAGACCUCGAGCUACAAACACCCGAAGGUUUAUUAGUUGAUGCUGAAACAAAAAUAACAGAAUUAAAAGCGAAGCUUCUUUCCCAGUCAGAAAAUUUUGAACAAGAGAAACUGAAUCUUGAUGCAAAGCUUGAAGCCGAAGCUCAGAGAAACUUGGAACUGAAAGAAUCUUUGAAAAAUCGUCAAAAUAAACGUUUGGAGUUCUGCACUCGAUGCAUUCAUCAGUUAAAGCAAGUGUUCCAUUUUGUCGGAGCCAGUAGUGAAGAGUUUACUCCUUCGGCCGAAGACCUGUCUGGUGCCUUCGAGCAUAUUGAAGGUGAAAUUAAUGAUCUUGACGAAGUUAUAGCUGGGCAUAGCGACUUCUGUGCCCUGGCAGCUUCUCGGGGCACAUCCGUUGCUUUUUUGAAGUCUGACUAUGAACACGGCAAGAUUGUUAAUAGACCCAACUUCAGCCUGUCACCGGCAGACCUAGAUGAUGUUCCCAAUCUGGCUCGGAGUAUUGCAAAUAGAUUUAUAAAGUUAGUAUGGACAAAGGGUGGUCGGAGCAAAGCUAGUGACGAAGCUCGGAGCCACCUCAAGCUGGUAACAAAAUCAUACCUUAUGCUUACCUUUUCCUUUGAAUUUUUGAAUUUGGCUUAUAAUACUUUCGUACAGAUUGACCAGGCCGAAGCUGCAGCUGCAGAGUAGAAGAACGAAGCUCCAGAGAUAGUGUCGAAGCUUGAAUAAUCUUGUAAAAGUAGCUCAAAAAACUCGUGUAAUAACUUGUAUAAAAUAUGAUGUAAUCUGAAUUUUACUUUGUAAUAUAAUCUUACUUUUCUGUCCAUGUAUGAAAUGCUUUGGUGUGGACGAAAUUAAUACUUUUGAGCCAUAGGCGAAAAACACCUUCCCUUCUUUGCGUACACAGCGAAGCAUAAAAUUGCCUUCCUUUCGGGACCGAAGCAUGUUUGUAUGUUAUGCUGAUGAUGAUCCUAUGUAUGUCUAAGUGAAUGUUUAUGAAUGCAAAUGUCAUGAUGUAAUGUAUCGUGCAAAUGAAUGUUCAAAUACAUAUUCGAAACCAUAUUCCCUUGGGAAUGACUCAAAUUUUCUUUGCCGCUUAUUUUUCGGCUUCACCGUUUAUUUUUCGGUGUAUCAGCGCUGACUUUUCGUUGUAAGCCUCCCUUAGGAGCUUCUUCGCUUUUUACUUCGGCGGAAUUAGCGUUGACUUUUCGUUGUAAGCCUCCCUUAGGAGCUUCUUCGCCUUUUACUUCGGCGGAAUCAGCGUUGACUUUUCGCUGUAAGUUCUGCAUUUCCUUGGGAACGACUUUUGAGCUUCUCCUUGUUUCCUUUUCUUUUUUCUUUGCACUCGAUGGUGCUUCCUCAGCUUUUACAUUUACAUUUUGGGGGAUUUUGCUCUUAUAGAGCUGAAGUAAAAAAAAGAAAUUACAUGCUAUGGCCCCAUUAAAAACCUUUCUCCCCCUUUGGAAAGGAAAAAGGUGCCAUUAAAAAAGAAUAUAAAAAAUUACAUCAAGCUAGACAUAAUAUCGCCAAAGCUCAUCCGCAUUCCAUGAUCUAGGAAUGUCGUUGUUGUCCAUAUCCUUCAAUCUGUAGGAACCGGAUCUUGACGAAGAUACUACCAGAAAAGGUCCUUCCCACUUCAGCUGUAGCUUGCCUACUGUGUCUGGGUUGGCGACUCUUCGAAGUACUAAAUGUCCUGGCUUAAUAUUUUUAAGCCGAACCUUUCUGUCAUGCCAUUUUAUUGUUUCGGCUUGAUAUUUGUUGAUAUUUUCUACAGCUUGAAGCCUGAUCCCUUCUAUAGCAUCUUUUUCCACAGAGUAAUCAGCUUUAGCUUCGUCUUCUGCCAAAGCUACUAUUCUUAUUGAACCUGCUUUUGCUUCUUCCGGAAUUAUUGCUUCGUCACCAAACAACAAUUUGAAUGGUGUAAAACCUGUUGAUCUUGAUAUUGUUGUGUUGUGGCUCCACGCCACUUUGAUUAAUUCAUCUGGCCACUUUCCCCUGGGCUGAUUGAAGAUUAACUUCAUUAUUCCUGUCAUUAUGAUGCCAUUAGCCCUUUCAACGAGUCCAUUUGACUCCGGAUGCCGAACUGAUGCGAAAUGAAUCUUCGUGCCAAUUUGUUCACAAAACUCUCUGAAAGCUUCGGAAUCAAACUGCGUUCCAUUGUCCACAGUGAUGGCCUUCGACACUCCGAAGCGACAGACAAUAUUUUGCCAAAAAAACUUUUGAAUAGUAACCAAAGUUAUUGUGGCUAGAGGCUUUGCCUCAAUCCAUUUAGAAAAAUAUUCCACUGCCACCACAACAUAUCUUAAGUUCCCUUGUGCUGGUGGUAGCGGACCUAACAAAUCAAGACCCCACCUUUGCAAUGGCCAAGUGGGUUGUAUUAACUGAGUUAGAGACGAAGGUUGUUUUUGAUCUCUUGCACAUUUCUGACAACCUUCGCACUUUUGGACUAAUUCUGCUGCAUCCGAAGCUGCCUUUGGCCAAUAAAAUCCUUGACAAAAAACUUUUCCCAGCAAAGGCCUAGAUCCAAUGUGAGAUUCACACAGGCCUGCGUGUAUUUCCUUCAUCAAUUCUAUACCUUCGGCUCUGGAUAAACAUUUGAGUAGUGGAGAGCAGACCCCAUGCUUGUACAACUCCCCUUCUAUUAUGACAUAUGGUCGAGCUCUUGCCUCUAUUCUUUUGUUAUAAGCUUCAUCAUCUGAAAGAAAGUUACCCUGAAGGAAAGAGAUGAUCUUCAGUUCUCCAAUCUUCACUAUAAACAGGAGAUAUAUUGAGGACUGCUCUUUCAAGAAGUUCAACCGAAGGUGCUUUUAUUGUUUCAAAAAAUACUUCCGAAGGUAAAGGCAGCCCCUGUGCUGCUGACUUGGCUAGCAAAUCAGCAUGUUCAUUUUCUCCUCGAGGGAUAUUUCUGACAGAAAAUCCUUCAAAGGAAGCUUCGAUCCUUCGAACCGUGUCUAAUUAUUUCUCCAGCUUCGGGUCUCUUGCUUUGCAACUUUUGUGAAUAUGACCAGAAAUAACCUGGGAAUCAGUUUUAAGGAUGGCUCUUCUAAUUCCCAUUGCCUUUAACUUCUGAAGACCCAAAAGCAAAGCUUCGUACUCAGCAAUGUUAUUUGUGCAGCUGAAAUCAAGCCUUGCUGCAUAGCAAGUUUUGACUUUGGAGGGUGCGACCAAUACAGCGGCUGCUUCUGCCCCGUAGGUUCCCCAAGAACCGUCGCAGAAUAUUGUCCAGACUUCGACAUCUUUACUCGCUUCCUCUUCCUAAUUAUGAGCGACUUGACAAGGGUGCCGAAGGGCAGAAAAGGAAAAGAGUAGCCGGCGCUUUGAUCAAUGACGACGAAGAUCAAUAAAAAAAAAGAAAGAAAAGUUUGAAUUGAAAGUGUUAACUUCGAAGAAAAGAAAGGACUCAAUCCCAGAACAAAAAUCAAUUGAUGAAGAAGAGAAGGCUUCUGCGACAUCUUCUUUAUGCUGAAAUAGAGGAAAUUCUAAAGGUAAUGACUGAAACUUUGCCUGUCAAACUAAGUCCAUUGGGGCUUCAUCUGACAAAGCUUUUUCAUAAUGAAAAGGAGCCCGCAAAGACAAAGGCAUCUAGGCCAAAAAGACAAAGGAUUGUUACCGUGACAGAAGUGAUUGAAACAAAACCACCAAGAGCUCCAGCUCUGAAGAUGUCGGCAAUUGAAAUCAUGACAGCUACUGAAGCUGUACCUUCGGAGGCUGCCGCAGAAGAGGCCAAAGCCAAAGAUGCUAACUCCGAAGGUAUUAAUUUAGAGAGCAUAGCCGCUGAUAUAGAUAAAAUGCUGCUAAACAUGGCCGUUGAAGAAACUGCUGUAGCCACCGAAGAGACCACGACUGCCAAACCCGAGAAAGAAGGAAUAACCGAAGAUACCUCGGAAGAUGAAACUUUUGACUUCCGAAACUUAGUUGGCCAGGAGCUGACUAAAGCUGAAAAAGAGGAAUUAAAAGAGUAUGCUAUAUCUUGUGGAUAUCGGCCGGGGUCGCUUCUCUUUAGUGGUAUUGAUGAUGAAGGGUUAGGCUGCAUACGAGACCAAAUCGGUGCGAAAGUUGUCGGUACUUUAUCAAAGAGUAUCGGCUUCCCGAAGCUUGAAGCGGAUAUCAGCCGCUACCGUCGACAACAUAUUGUCGCCAAUGUUGGGGACUUGUUCUCAAAUGCUAUGAAUUAAGAACAAGGCAACAUAGAAAUUGUUAAAUGUCAUAGUUCUUCGUCCUUCGAAGCAUUAUUUCCCUUAGGAUAUAAUGGAUUCCGGACAAAGGUUAUGAAGGUUAUACCUUCAUAAACACAACAAAUAAUGAGAAAGGGUAAAAAAUAUGUAAAAUAAUUUAAACACAUGAUUAUUAUUAUUAACUCAUUUCUAUUUCAUUAUUGUAGAAAUGAUAACAAGUUACAAAUGUACCUUCGGCUUGAAGGAAAGCAAAAAUACCAGCGUGAAGCAAAAACAAAUGCCCAAAGCGUGAUUACAGGAGAGUGCCUCAACAGUACAGGGGUAUUGUUCACCUAUUUAUAGGCACAGUUCACAGCCUGUAUAUAAUUACAUUUAUACCCUUUACACUAAACUACAAUAAUGACACAGAAUAUCAUGGGUCUUUAAGUCAUUUCAUCUUUAAGUCGGUUCACCCCUUCGUCUUGAGACAUGUCACUGUGUCGAAGCUUUAUAGUCGAUAGCUUCGGCGCUGCUUUGGAGAGGAUCUGCCGAAGGUGUUCAUUUCUUUAGGAUCUUCGGCUACGAAGCAUACCCCCAACAGUAGCCCCUUCACGGCGCUAGAUCGUUUUUUGUAAUGAGCUUGAUACGUGAAAAAUCUUCUAAGCUUCGGGAUGCCGAAGAUCCAAAAAACACCUUCCCUGAGCUCGUUGGCGAGAAACGAUUAAAAUAAACGUCGGACGCGCGACCCAUCUUGCACCAAUUACACGCUCGCCAGCGAUUCACCUUCUCGAGCUAUGUGGCCCACCGUUCAGUGAGUGCGGGUGACUGUUUGUUCGGUGCUGGAGACCUUGCCGAUUCACCUUCCCACCUGCAGCACUAUAUAAACAGACGGGUAGAUGUGAAGUUACCACAUCAUUCAUUGCUAUUGUACUGUUUUGCUGCCAAAUUUUUAGUCAGAGCCGAAGCUUGAUCAUUGCGCUCAUACAAAAUCUGCUUCGGCGCAAGUGGAAGAGCUUCGGAAAAGACAAAAAAAAACCAAUUCAAAAAAUUUCAAGUAAGUCAUAAUCAAAUGGCCAGAGUUCGCUCUACUGCAAGAGUCGAUCGCGAGGGAGACGAAACCGAAGCUGUGGAAACUGUUCCUAUCUCGGAAGCAAUGAAGCGAUCUGGGUUGGUGGCACCGGAAGACGUCCCUGUUGCUGAAGCAGAGCAAGCAGAUAUUGAAGAGACUGAUUCUGAAGAUGAUUAAAACAUCGCAGUGCCGAGCAAGCCUAGCCACCUGGACUUCGGAAAGUCGACCAUCUCCAAAGCUGAUUUUCCUAAGAUGGUGAAGUCGGGCUACUUUAGCGAAGAUGAGAAAGAGCUGAUUCGCUUCGGUGGAGAAGAAACUACUCCGAAGUCACAGAAAGAUGAAAUAGUGAUUUUCAAGAGUUUCCUCAAAGUUGGUUUGAGAUUUCCUUUGAAUAGGAUGAUUGCCGAUGUGCUAAAGAAGUUUGGGAUCCACUUUCAUAAACUAACUCCUAACGCUAUUGUUAGGCUUAGUGUUUAUAUUUGGGCUCUCCGAAGCCAGGGGUGGAACCGUUUGCCGAAGGUUUCUGCCGGGUGCACGAGCUACAUUACCAAACCAAGGCCAGAAAGGAUGGGUUACAUGAAAAUUUUGGUUGUUACAAUUUUGCCUAUCGGAAAACUACAAAAUUUCCUGUGAUUAGCUACCGAAGCAAGUGGCCGGCAGGCUGGAAAUCGGAAUGGUUCUACGUCAAAGUUGACGAUGACAAGGAGAAGCUGGUCCAGAGUCCGCUUGAACUGAUCUUCGGAGAAACCAGACCCCAAUGCAAUAUGACACCAGAAGGUCCAACCCAAACUGCGUUGGCUGAAUUCAGGAUUAUCGCAGAGCACAUUGGCACUAGAGAUUUAGUGCAGGAAUUUCUGGCUUUCAAAAUAUUUCCAACUAUGAAGGAAUGGGCUAUGCCGAAGCUUGAAAGAGAGAAGAAAGAGGGGGAGCUUGUCCGACUGCCCUACCACUAUAAGUUCAAGAAAUAUUUCAAAGCACCCUGCCAAGAAUGGCUCGAAACAAUCGAAGUAAUGAGCACUGAAAUUCUUGGGAAUUAUUCUAAAAAAGAGGAUCAAUUGAUGACAGCAGCCUUCGGCACCCGGUCGAAAUGAAAGCUAAACAGAGUGCUUGAUGCUAUAGGCUUUGAAUAUCCUGAUUAUGAGCGACUUGACAAGGGUGCCGAAGGGCAGAAAAGGAAAAGAGUAGCUGGCGCUUUGAUCAAAGACGACGAAGAUCAAUCAAAAAAGAAGAAAGAAAAGUUUGAAUCGAAACUGUUAACUUCGAAGAAAAGAAAGGACUCAAUCCCGGAACAAAAAUCAAUUGAUGAAGAAGAGAAGGCUUCUGCGACAUCUUCUGAUGCUGAAAUAGAGGAAAUUCUAAAGGUAAUGACUGAAACUUUGCCUGUCAAACUAAGUCCAUUUGGGCUUCAUCUGACGAAGCUUUUUCAUAAUGAAAAGGAGCCCGCAAAGACAAAGGCAUCUAGGCCAAAAAGACAAAGGAUUGUUACCGUGACAGAAGUGAUUGAAACACCACCACCAAGAGCUCCAGCUCUGAAGAUGCCGGCAAUUGAAAUCAUGACAACUACUGAAGUUGUACCUUCAUUGUGUGGGUAAUCCUUGAGCUGAAGAUCCUCUUGAGAGAAGGUAAUUGGAAUGUGAGACCAUCUUGACUUGAUGAAGGGUCCUUGUACCCCUACAUGUUGUACUCUUCUCUGUGCCUCCUUCUUCUGUUUCUUGUUAGCCGGCUCUAAGCAUGAACCGCCUAUUAUCGGGAGAAUCAGCUUCGGAGCCAAAGCAAUUCCAGCUUGGUUCUUGAACGAAGCCAUUGUCUCAAGAAAGUGGAAGUGAGUUCACCGGAGGUGGGCACCAAUGUUGGGGACUUGUUCUCAAAUGCUAUGAAUUAAGAACAAGGCAACAUAGAAAUUGUUAAAUGUCAUAGUUCUUCGUCCUUCGAAGCAUUAUUUCCCUUGGGAUAUAAUGGAUUCCGGACAAAGGUUAUGAAGGUUAUACCUUCAUAAACACAACAAAUAAUGAGAAAGGGUAAAAAAUAUGUAAAAUAAUUUAAACACAUGAUUAUUAUUAUUAACUCAUUUCUAUUUCAUUAUUGUAGAAAUGAUAACAAGUUACAAAUGUACCUUCGGCUUGAAGGAAAGCAAAAAUACCAGCGUGAAGCAAAAACAAAUGCCCAAAGCGUGAUUACAGGAGAGCGCCUGAACAGUACAGGGGUACUGUUCACCUAUUUAUAGGCACAGUUCACAGCCUAUAUAUAAUUACAUUUAUACCCUUUACACCGAACUACAAUAAUGACACAGAAUAUCAUGGGUCUUUAAGUCAUUUCAUCUUUAAGUCGGUUCACCCCUUCGUCUUGAGACAUGUCACUGUGCCGAAGCUUUAUAGUCGAUAGCUUCGGCGCUGCUUUGGAGAGGAUCUGCCGAAGGUGUUCAUUUCUUUAGGAUCUUCGGCUACGAAGCAUACCCCCAACAUAUAGAUCAUAUGAGAAAUUAUUCUAUAAAUAAUUAUCUCAACUUUAAUCUAAGUCAUUAUUUUAUUAAAGCUUAUCUAGUUAAAUUAUAACCAUAAAAUUAGAAUACUAUAUUAAUAUUAAAUAAUUUAAUCUAAUAGACAUAGAUUAACCCAAUUAUAAUGUAUGGAAUAUCAUAUAAUAAAUGUUGCUAUUGUUUAGUAGAUAUUUAUAUGAAGCUAACGCAAUUGGAACGAGCUAAAUCGGAUUUAAAACGGAGGAGUUACGAAUUUCCUAAGGUUUAUGUAUUUUGCACAAGAUUAAAUAGGAUAUAAAUUUUAAUGUGACUUUCAUGUGAAAACAUGGUACUAGAUGAUAAACCGUAAUAUUACAAAAUUAUAGGAACUGGAAUGGAUUAAAAAGGAGUUAAAAUGUAUUUUCUAGGAAUUAAACAAAUUUAUGGAAUUAAUUUUGCAUUAAAAACCUUUUUCUAAAUGAAUUUCUCUGUUUUCCUAGAGGUCUGGACUGCGCGCAUGAUUAAACAGAAACCCAGGGUCUAUUGCAUAAAACGUCUAAUACUCAGGCAUACGGUCAAUGGACUGCGGGUUUAAUAAGAAGGAUUCCAGGGUCUCUUUUAAAAGACGGCCAGGGUUGAAGGGGUAUGGUUCAAUCCUGACCGUCCGAUCUAGCAUGAACGUCCCAGAUUAGAUCGCGAUUCCAGUGAACCGGUAUGCAACAAGGGACGUCAGAUCGCGGAUGAAGGUUCUGGAUUUAAAAUGUCUUGAUCAAACCGUACACGCCCGAUCGAGAUCCAAUGGUCAGAUUAGGACGCGUGAAGGGGUAUGCGCUGGUGUGAUCUCGACCGUCGAUGCCCGGACCAAUGGUCCAAAGCGCAUCGCUACACUUCUCCCCUAUCUCGACCACCAGAGCGGCCGCGCCGCCCAGGGAGCACGACGGAGGAUCGCUGGCGACACUCGAUUUGGCGCAACCGAGCCGGUGCCACAACACAACUAAGUGCUAAACGAACUAGGGCGUGCAACGAAUCGAAUGAGCUGGUCCUUACCCCAGAUUGGAGAGCCACGGAUGCAGUCCACGGCGGCUUGCGGCACGAUGGCGGAGAAGGAAGCUCGACGCCCAAUUCUGGCAACCCAGGCCGAUGACCCGAUCCGCGCGGUCCAUGGAUACGCUCCUUGACACCCGGUGACCGUCCCUGAGCUAGUCGCAGAACCGCGACCGCCGCAAGGAUCAAGAUUUGAUGCCGGCGGCAAUCCUCCCGAUGGCCGCCCCUCUCGGAUUUCUCACGGUGGGUGACGCUAAGGCGAUAGUGUGCAUAGACGGAUGGAAGAAAAGGAGAAGUGGACGACGCGCUAGACAUUAUAUGCCCAAGGUGAGUCUGUUGAGGCGUACGCUGGUGGCGAGAUUAACGGCGGGUCGUUAGGGAGGCCCUGACCAUGGUGGCGUGGGUGAGGUCCUACAGUUGUGUGCAGUUGCGAGGCGGCAGGCGGGAUCGG
This 73975-nucleotide long non-coding RNA is filed under the name Zea mays. Its description in RNAcentral is "long non-coding RNA (ZMAY_LNC002519)". Lineage: Eukaryota; Viridiplantae; Streptophyta; Magnoliopsida; Poales; Poaceae. The record is from RNAcentral.